GUGGUUGUUGCGGUAGAAUUGGUUGUUGUUGUUGCUGUUGCGAAAAUGGUGGUUGUUGCGGUAGAACUGGUUGUUGCUGCUGCUGAGAAAAUGGUGGUCGUUGUUGUGAAAAUGGGGGUUGUUGCAGUAGAAGUGGUUGUUGUUGCUGCGGGAAUGGUUGUUGUUGCUGCGAAAAUUGUGGUUGUUGUUGCUGCGAAAAUGGUGGUUGUUGCGGUAGAAUUGGUAGUUCUUGCUGCGAGAAUGGUGGUUGUUGCUGUGAAAAUGGUGGUUGUUGUUGCUGCGAUAAUGGUGGUUGUUGUUGCUGUGAACAUGGUGGCUGUUGUGGAAAUGGUUGUGGUUGUUGUUGGAUCGGUUGCUGUUGGUGGUACCAUAAUAUUUGUUGUAGUGGUAAUGGUUGUUGUUGCGAUGGUUUCUCCAAGCCAGGGAUGUGGCUAGUCUCCAUUUGUGCAAUGGCACUUGUCGCUGCAACGGCAAGGAGGGCAAAGAUGAGGAAGGUCUUCAUGGUGAAUUGGUGUUAACUAGUGUUGCUUGGUUUGAUGCUUGUGCUUGUGAUGAUCAUUAUACUUCAUGUCUAUUUAUAGUAGCCCAUGCACCACCUCUUUCCUUCUUUGCAUCAGCUUUAAUAAUUGUGUUUGGAUGUUUCUGAAAUGGAUUUUUGGUACAUUAUGGUAGGUUGCACUAGCUAUACGCGUACUUUUGGAUUGAUCAUCAAAGUUGCUUUUUAGUUGUGCAUAUGAUCAUACACAAAGUACAUGAUGUUUGAGGUAGAUGACUUGCCUUAUUCACUUUACAUGUCAUGCAUUUAUCAGGAUAGUAUCACUUUUACACCCGAUUUUGGAAAAGUUACAUGAUGUUUGCUAUAGAUGACUUGCCUUAUUCACUUUACAUGUCACACACUUAUCAGGAUAUUAUCACUUUUACACCCGAUUUUGGAACCUUGCAUAGGGUGUCAGCCUUAAACAUGAAAAGGCAAAACUUGUGUAGGACUAAGUUGCAAUCAUGUGUGGGUUGUUAAGAUAUGCUCUAUUAUUAAAGCCUUACAUGUGGAGGGUUCUUCUAGACUCAAUUGUUUCUUAUAGAACUAACAUUGUAUUGUCCUUUAAGAUGGUAAGAUAAAUUGACACCUAUAGAGCAUGACACGACUCAUCGAAUUCCCUUUACAUGUAAAGGAUUGUAAUUGCUUACAAGUCACUAACAUAUAUCUGGUCCUAACUCUAGACACAUCAUCAUCAGUUUGAUCUUUGUGUUAAGGAUUUUUAUUUGAUCAUAUCAUUCUUUUGGCGGACUAAGUUUGCAAUAUUGUGCAAAUAUUUCAACGGGCCCACCUGGUCUCUUUUACUAAAUCUUUGGGGCAGGAGGUUGAUAUUUAUUUGAAUUGUGUAGAAUAUUUACAUUGGUAACCUAUUGGAAUUAUUGUAUGUUCGUUAUACUAUGACGACAACAUAUAUAGUUUGGUUUACUGUGGUUCAUGUUCAGGUGUACAAUAAUGAAUUUACUAUAUCAAGGUACUUUAUCAACCCAAAAUAAAAAAUUCCAAACAUUUCAACAUUUUUCAUGAACAAACCUUUAGAACCUAUUCGCGACUAUCCUCCUAGAUCAUGGACAACCAGCAUAUUUCAUUUGUAGGAUUUUGACAAGGUCUUGAUUGUUUCCCACAUAAAAUGUUCUAGAUUGUUUCAUGGCAACUUGUUUGUGCCCGACUAUUUUCAAACUUCUUAUCUAGGCCAUACUUAUGUUUUUCUGUCAUUAAUCUAUUAACUGCUGAAUGAGGUGGUCCCAAAUGAUAAAGAAAACUAUGUUAGGAGUAUGGGCAUCUCUUUCAAUAAAACCAGAGGAUUUUAUGAUUAUGAUUUGGUUCGAAAUAUGUUAAUGAUAUGUGCACUCGAUCUGGGCCCUUAUCCGAUGAAUUGAAAAGUGUUAAAUGGCCCAUGCAUAAAUCUAUAUUUGUUCACAAGUAUCAGAAAUCUGGAAUGGUGACACUACAUAUUCAAUUCAAAUUUGAAAAUACAUCUGAUCCCAGCUAUAAAGGUCGCCAUGUGUCUCAAAGGAGUCUCCAUGGCAACUCUGGCCGUCUGCAAUUACACUAGAUGGCAUGCUAGUCUGCCAUCCAUCGUGGGGAUCCGCCGACAGGACAGGUCAGAGUUCCCGCGGUUGCAACUAGCAGGUUAUUCAUCCAAUCUCUGUUCGUCAGUUAGUGCUCGAUCCUAGAGUAAAUGGUACUUGUAUGGAUAUAUAGUUGCAGAGAGGAAUUUCUUUGCCUAGUGUUUGAUCGGAUUGCUAGCUGGAUUGGUGGAGAAAUCACUACUUCUUCGUGGUAGGGUAGCAGUGGACAAUUAGUACAGACAUACCUGGCAAAAAAUUCUGGUGUGUUGAGAAGUAUAUUAAGUGGAGAUAGUACUAGAUCUGAUGGCUGCCGGAGAUAGUAGUAGAUGUAAUACUACACACUGGCACAGUAUGAGGUCAUUAUAUUGUUCUGUACAAAGUCUGUCACUGAGAUGUACAUAUAUGAGUUACAGCCGUAUAUAUAUUUCUUGCAAAAUCCAUGCUUCCUUGCAGGUGCCCCCGAGACAGAGCCUAUUCCCUAUUUGGUACGGUGAGUAUUAAAUCGAAACUCAAAAUAUGCAUUUAUCGAUUUGUCAAUCUCACAUUAUAUGCAUCUGAUAGGAGAGGUUAUCGUCAGAGGUUGUGGAACAAUCUGAAGGACACUUGUGGUUAAGCAGCAACAGCAGCAGGUGAAGUGUUUCAUGUCAGUCAGUUGGUAGUCAGACUGGCACUUGUUUAAUUUGGAUGAUACAGUUUUUUAUUCACUUUGGUAAAUGCCAAUGGACAAUGACCAAUUUGGAUGAUACACGUGAGGAAUAGACUACAGAAAGACUAGUUAUGUGGUCACCUGGGACUCUAGAGUGUUUUUAGGUGCCAUGCAGUCUUGUUUUGCUGUUAUAGACUUGAUAAAUGCUAUGAGCUAUUUUUGACAGCACCAGUGUCGUUUCAUUGUUGGUUUAGCAGGUGCUUUGGCUAAAAGAAGAAAAGAAAAAUGUUACGCACGCCUAGGUUAUGUCAUGAUUGUUAUUGGCUUUGACAAACUUUGACCUCUGUCUUCUUCAGAUAUCUGUAUCAGUGCUGAUGGUAUCCCAGCAGUGCUGGUUACUGGGGAAGUGUAUGCGGCAUGUCGAAUCAUUCUUCCGCAGGAGGCCCCUAAAGCUUCAACUUGUUGAGAAACUGUCUGCACUCCGCAGUUUGGAACCUUGCGGCAUGAUGCUGUGAAUUUCUUGGAUAGUGGGCUUCCCUGAUGGCUGCUCUGCUAGUGCUAGCUCAGGGAAUGGCCUCUACAACUGAACUGUACUGCAGUCGGUCUUGACCGAGAAUUGUUGGGGCCUAUGGUGUAGGGCGACUGCUUGGCGUCGAGUUGAGCUGCAACGCUGAAUCAAACCCUGGCCGACACAGACAAUCAGAUCUGGAUUUGGUUUGCUGCUCGUCCUUUGGGUUCGUGCCCAUGAUGGGCAAGGUUCACCAGCAGUUUACUAUCAUCCAUGGCGCUUUAACCCUGUGGUGUUCUACUUAUCUGAACAACUUCUUGUUUUUGAAAUGUCAACCGGGGUGUGUGUGUGUGUGUGUGUGUGUGUGUGUCACAAAAAGAGGAAGUCCUCAGUUUGUGAUCAUACAGCAGAGGUGAAUAGAGGGGCAGAGGGCCACACAGUUUUUUUUUAGAAAUGGAGGCGUACCCCCGGCCUUUGCAUCAUAAUGAUGCAUGCAGCCAUCUUAUUAAAGAGUCUUGAAGUAGCACAAAGUCAAAAAAGUAUUACAGCUCGCAAGCGAAGCGAACCAAAAAAAAAAGUACAUGCCCAAAAUCACUACCGGUAAGGCAAAGUAAAAGAUAAGCUCCCUAUACUCAUAUCCUGUUCUGCGACCGCCAACCGAACCGGUUGAAUAUAGCCCGUGCUACCAUCUCCCACUGGUUGCACCCAGUAACCAAAGCCUCCCUGGAGUCCACAGGAGUGAGUAAGGACCACGUAUGGAUCAAUGCGGUAGCUCUAAAGAUGACCAGCAAGAAAGUUAAAAUGUGUUGUCUGUUAAAAAUCAUAUCAUUCCUACAAUUCCAUAUAGCCAUAAAAGCGCACAUACUCCAAUCCGAAUACGAGAUACAGUAAUAUGCUCAACCCCAGCUAACCACAUUCCAAACAACAAUUCAAUGUCAACUUGAGGAUUAAAGUUAAAGGCUAUAUGGAUCAUUCUCCAAAGCAAUUUGGCGAGUGGGCACUCAAGGAAUAGAUGUUGUAUUGUUUCAUCAUGAUCACAAAAACAACAACGUCAACAACCUACCCAUCGCGUCUUUAUUAAGAUAUCCUUGAUGAGGAUUACUUGCUUGUGGACGAACCACAUAAAUAUUUUAAUAUGCAAGGGAACCUUAACCUUCCAAAUAUGUAACGAUCUCGUGAUUGGGCCAGAAUUAAUCAGAUCCAUGUAAAACGAUUUCACCGUAAAUGCCCCAUUUCUAGCUAACUUCCAGUGCGUCCAAUCAGGUUGGUCGGAUAAUUGAACAUCUAUCUGAGUUGUCAUUUGAUUAACGGGAUCACAUCAUUAGGAGAAUGAUGUGAUUGACUUGACCCAUUCCGUUAGCUUAGCACUUGAUCGUUUAGUAUUCUGCUAUUGCUUUCUACAUGACUUAUACAUGUUCCUAUGACUAUGAGAUUGUGCAACUCCCAUUUACCGGAGGAACACUUUGUGUGCUACCAAACGUCACAACGUAACUGGGUGAUUAUAAAGGUGCUCUACAAGUGUCUCCGAAGGUACUUGUUGGGUUGGCGUAUUCCGACAUUAGGAUUUGUCACUCCGAUUGUCGGAGAGGUAUCUCUGGGCCCACUCGGUAAUGCACAUCACUAUAAGCCUUGCAAGCAUUGUAACUAAUGAGGUAGUUGCGGGAUGAUGUGUUACAGAACGAGUAAAGAGACUUGCCGGUAACGAGAUUGAAAUAGGUAUUGAGAUACCGACGAUCAAAUCUCGGGCAAGUAACAUACCGACGACAAAGGGAACAACGUAUGUUGUUAUGCGGUUUGACCGAUAAAGAUCUUCCUAGAAUAUGUAGGAGCCAAUGUGAGCAUCCAGGUUCCGCUAUUGGUUAUUGAUCGAAGACGUGUCUCGGUCAUGGCUACAUAGUUCUCGAACCCGUAGGGUCCGCACGCUUAAUGUUCGGUGCCGAUUUAUAUUAUGAGUUAUGUGUUUUGAUGUACCGAAGGUAGUUCGGAGUCCCGGGUGAGAUCGGGGACAUGACGAGGAGUCUCGAAAUGGUCAAGACGUAAAGAUCGAUAUAUUGGACGACUAUAUUCGGACAUCCGAAAGGUUCCGAGUGAUUCGGGUAUUUUUCGGGGUACCGGAGAGUUACGGGAAUUCGCCGGGGAGUAUAUGGGCCUUAUUGGGCUUUAGGGAAAAGAGAGAGGGUAGGCUGUGCGCCCCCCAAGGCCUAGUCCGAAUUGGACUAGGGGGAGGGGCUGCGCCCCCUCCUUCCUUCUCUUCUCUUUUCCCUUUCGUUGACUCCUACUCCUACUACUCGGAAGAGGGGCAAUCCUACUCCCGGUUGGAGUAGGACUCCUCCAGGGCGUGCCAUAGGAGGGCCGGCCCUUCCCCCUCCUCCACUCCUUUAUAUACGGGGGCAGGGGGCACCUCUAGACACACAAGUUGAUCUGUUGAUCUAUUCUAGCCGUCUGCGGUGCCCCCUCCACCAUAUUCCACCUUGGUCAUAUCGUAGCGGUGCUUAGGCGAAGCCCUGCGUCGGUAACAACAUCAUCACCGUCAUCACGCCGUCGUGCUGACGGAACUCUCCCGCAAAGCUCUGCUAGAUCAGAGUUCGUGGGACGUCGUCGAGCUGAACGUGUGCUGAACUCGGAGGUGCCGUGCGUUCGGUACUUGGAUCGGUCGGAUCGUGAAGACGUACGACUACAUCAACCGCGUUGUCAUAACGCUUCCGCUUUCGGUCUACGAGGGUACGUGGACACACUCUCCCCUCUUGUUGCUAUGCAUCACCAUGAUCCUGUGUGUGCGUAGCAAAUUUUUUGAAAUUACUACGUUCCCCAACAGUGGCAUCCGAGCCAGGUUUUAUGCGUAGAUGUUAUAUGCACGAGUAGAACACAAGUGAGUUGUGGGCGAUACAAGUCAUACUGCUUACCAGCAUGUCAUACUUUGGUUCAGCGGUAUUGUUGGAUGAAGCGGCCCGGACCAACAUUACGCGUACGCUUACGCGAGACUGGUUCUACCGACAUGCUUUGCACAGAGGUGGUUGGCGGGUGUCAGUUUCUCGAACUUUAGUUGAACCGAGUGUGGCUACGUCCGGUCCUUGAGAAGGUUAAAACAGCACCAACUUGACGAACUAUCGUUGUGGUUUUGAUGCGUAGGUAAGAACGGUUCUUGCUCAGCCCGUAGCAGCCAUGUAAAACAUGCAACAACAAAGUAGAGGACGUCUAACUUGUUUUUGCAGGGCAUGUUGUGAUGUGAUAUGGUCAAGGCAUGAUGCUAUAUUUUAUUGUAUCAGAUGAUCAUGUUUUGUAAUCGAGUUAUCGGCAACUGGCAGGAGCCAUAUGGUUGUCGCUUUAUUGUAUGCAAUGCAAUCGCCCUGUAAUUGCUUUACUUUAUCACUAAGCGGUAGCGAUAGUCGUAGAAGCAAUAGUUGGCGAGACGACAACGAUGCUACGAUGGAGAUCAAGGUGUCGCGCCGGUGACGAUGGUGAUCAUGAUGGUGCUUCGGAGAUGGAGAUCACAAGCACAAGAUGAUGAUGGCCAUAUCAUAUCACUUAUAUUGGUUGCAUGUGAUGUUUAUGCAUCUUAUUUUGCUUAGAUCGACGGUAGCAUUAUAAGAUGAUCUCUUACUGAAUUUCAAGGUAUAAGUGUUCUCCCUGAGUAUGCACCGUUGCAAAAGUUCUUCGUGAUGAGACACCACGUGAUGAUCGAGUGUGAUAGGCUCUACGUUCAAAUACAACGGGUGCAAAACAGUUGCACACGCGCAAUACUCAGGUUAAACUUGACGAGCGGAGCAUAUGCAGAUAUGGCCUCGGAACACUGAGAUCGAAAGAUAGAGCGUGAAUCAUAUAGUACAUAUGAUCAACAUAGUGAUGUUCACCAUUGAUACUACUCCAUCUCACGUGAUGAUCGGACAUGGUUUAGUUGAUAUGGAUCACGUGAUCACUUAGAGGAUUAGAGGGAUGUCUAUCUAAGUGGGAGUUCUUAAGUAAUAUGAUUAAUUGAACUUAAAUUUAUCAUGAACUUAGUACCUGAUAGUAUCUUGCUUGUCUAUGUUGUUGUAGAUAGAUGGCCCGUGCUAUUGUUCCGUUGAAUUUUAAUGCGUUCCUUGAGAAAGCAAAGUUGAAAGAUGUUAGUAGCAAUGAUGCGGAUUGGAUCCGUGAUCUGAGGAUUAUCCUCAUUGCUGCACAGAAGAAUUAUGUCCUUAAUGCACCGCUAGGUGACGGACCUAUUGCAGGAGCAUAAGCAGACGUUAUGAACGUUUGGCAAAACUCGGUAUGAUGACUACUUGAUAGUUUAGUGCACCAUGCUUUAUGGCUUAGAACCGGGACUUCAAAAAUGUUUUGAAACGUCACGGAGCAUAUGAGAUGUUCCAAGAGACGAAAUUAGUAUUUCAGACUCAUGCCCAUGUCAAGAGGUAUGAGACCUCUGACAAGUACUUUGCCUAAAAGAUGGAGGAGAAUUCCUCAACUAGUGAGCAUAUGCUCAGAAUGUCUGGGUACUACAAUCACUUGAAUCAAGUGGGAGUUAAUCUUCCAGAUAAGAUAGUGAUUGACAGAGUUCUCUAGUCACCAUCACCAAGUUACUAGAACUUCGUGAUGAACUAUAAUAUGCAAGGGAUAACAGAAACAAGUCCCAAGCUCUUCGUGAUAAUGAAAUCGGCGAAGGUAGAAAUCAAGAAGGAGCAUCAAGUGUUGAUGGUCAAAAAGACCACUAGUUUCAAGAAAAAGGGCAAAGGGAAGAAGAAGGGGAACUUCAAAAAGAACGGCAAGCAAGUUGCUGCUCAGGAGAAGAAACCAAAGUCUGGACCUAAGCCUGAAACUGAGUGCUUCUACUGCAAAGGGACUGGUCACUGAAAGCGGAACUGCCCCAAGUAUUUGGCGGAUAAGAAGGAUGGCAAAGUGAGCAAAAGUAUAUUUGACAUACAUGUUAUUUAUGUGUAAUUUACUAGUGUUUAUAGCAACCCCUCGGUAAUUGAUACUAGUUCAGUUGCUAAGAGUAGUAACUCGAAACGGGAGUUGCAGAAUGAACAGAAACUAGUUAAGGGCGAGGUGAUGAUGUGUGUUGGAAGUAGUUCCAAGAUUGAUAUGAUCAUCAUCACACACUCCCUAUACUUUCGGGAUUAGUGUUGAACCUAAAUAAGUGUUAUUUUGUGUUUGCGUUGAGCAUAAAUAUGAUUUGAUCAUGUUUAUUGCAAUACGGUUAUUCAUUUAAGUUAGAGAAUAAUUGUUGUUUUGUUUACAUGAAUAAAACCUUCUAUGGUCAUACACCCAAUGAAAAUGGUUUGUUGGAUCUCGAUCGUAGUGAUACACAUAUCCAUAAUAUUGAAGCCAAAAGAUGCAAAGUUAAUAAUGAUAGUGCAACUUAUUUGUGGCACUACCGUUUUGGUCAUAUUGGUGUAAAGCGCAUGAAGAAACUCCAUACUGAUGGGCUUUUGGAAUCACUUGAUUAUGAAUCACUUGAUGCUUGCGAACCAUGCCUCAUGGGCAAGAUGACUAAAACUCCGUUCUCCGGAACAAUGGAGUGAGUAACAGAUUUGUUGGAAAUCAUACAUACUGAUGUAUGUGGUCCAAUGAAUGUUGAGGCUCGCGGCGGGUAUCGUUAUUUUUCCGCCUUCACAGAUGAUUUGAGCAGAUAUGGGUAUAUCUACUUGAUGAAACACAAGUCUGAAAUAGUUGAAAAGUUCAAAGAAUUUCAGAGUGAAGUGGAGAAUCAUCGUAACAAGAAAAUAAAGUUUCUACGAUCUGAUCGCAGAGACGAAUAUUUGAGUUACGAGUUUGGCCUUCAAUUAAAACAAUGUGGAAUAGUUCCACAAACUCAUGCCACCUGGAACACCACAUAAUGGUGUGUCCGAACGUCAUAACCGUACUUUAUUGGAUAUAGUGCGAUCUAUGAUGUCUCUUACCGAUUUACUGUUAUUGUUUUGGGGUUAUACAUUAGAGACUGCUGCAUUCACGUUAAAUAGGGCACCAUCUAAAUCCGUUGAGAUGACGCCUUAUGAACUAUGGUUUGGCAAGAAACCAAAGUUGUCGUUUCUUAAAGUUUGGGGCUGCGAUGCUUAUGUGAAAAACUUCAACCUGAUAAGCUCGAACCCAAAUCGGAGAAAUGUGUCUUCAUAGGAUACCCAAAAGAGACUGUUGGGUACACCUUCUAUCACAGAUCCGAAGGCAAGACUUUUGUUGCUAAAUUUGGCUCCUUUCUAGAAAAGGAGUUUCUCUCGAAAAAAGUCAGUGGGAGGAAAGUAGAACUUGAUGAGGUAACUGUACCUACUCCCCUAUUGGAAAGUAGUUCAUCACAGAAACCGGUUUCUGUGACAUCUACACCAAUUAGUGAGGAAGCUAAUGAUGAUGAUCAUGAAACUUCAGAUCAAGUUGCUACUAAAUGUCGUAGGUCAACCAGAGUAAGAUCCGCACCAGAGUGGUACGGUAAUCCUGUUCUGGAAGUCAUGUUACUAGACCAUGACGAACCUAUGAACUAUGAGGAAGCGAUGAUGAGCCCAGAUUCCGCAAAAUAGCUUGAGGCCAUGAAAUCUGAGAUGGGAUCCAUGUAUGAGAACAAAGUGUGGACUUUGGUUGACUUGCCCGAUAAUCGGCAAGCCAUCGAGAAUAAAUGGAUCUUCAAGAAGAAGACAGACGCUGACGGUAAUGGAUCUCCAAAGGCCGCUAACACUGUGUGUAAGCUCCAGCGAUCCAUUUAUGGACUGGUGCAAGCAUCUCGGAGUUGGAAUAAACGUUUUGAUAGUGUGAUCAAAGCAUACGGUUUUAUACAUACUUUUGGAGAAGCCUGUAUUUAUAAGAAAGUGAGUGGGAGCUCUGUAGCAUUUCUGAUAUUAUAUCUGGAUGACAUAUUGUUGAUUGGAAAUGAUAUAGAAUUUCUGGAUAGCAUAAAGGGAUAUUUGAACAAGAGUGUUUUCAAUGAAGGACCUCGGUGAAGCUGCUUAUAUAUUGGGCAUUAAGAUCUAUAGAGAUAGAUCAAGACGCUUAAUUGGACUUUCACAAAGUACAUACCUUGACAAAGUUUUGAAGAAGUUCAAAAUGGAUCAUGCAAACAAAGGGUUCUUGCCUGUGUUACAAGGUGUGAAGUUCAGUAAGACUCAAUGCCCGACCACUGCAAAAGAUAGAGAGAAGAUGAAAGAUGUUCCCUAUGCUUCAGCCAUAGGCUCUAUCAUGUAUGCAAUGCUGUGUACCAGACCUGAUGUGUGCCUUGCUAUUAGUUUAGCAGGGAGGUACCAAAGUAAUCCAGGAGUGGAUCACUGGACAGCGGUCAAGAACAUCCUGAAAUACCUGAAAAGGCCUAAGAAUAUGUUUCUCGUUUAUGGAGGUGACAAAGAGCUCAUCAUAAAUGGUUACGUUAAUGCAAGCUUUGACACUGAUCCGGACGAUUCUAAAAUCGCAAACCGGAUACGUGUUUAUAUUGAACGGUGGAGCUGUCAGUUGGAACAGUUCUAAACAAAGCGUCGUGGCGGGAUCUAUGUGUGAAGCGGAGUACAUAGAUGCUUCAGAAGCAGUGAAUGAACGAGUCUGGAUGAAGGAGUUCAUAUCCGAUCUAGGUGUCAUACCUGGUGCAUCGGGUCCAAUGAAAAUCUUUUGUGACAAUACUGGUGCAAUUGCCUUAGCAAAGGAAUCCAGAUUUCACAAGAGAACCAAGCACAUCAAGAGACGCUUCAACUCCAUCCGGGGUCAAGUCCAGGUGGGAGACAUAGAGAUUUGCAAGAUACAUACGGAUCUGAAUGUUGCAGAUCCGUUGACUAAGCCUCUUCCCCGAGCAAAAUAUGAUCAGCACCAAGACUCCAUGGGUGUUAGAAUCAUUACUUUGUAAACUAGAUUACUGACUCUAGUAAACCCUUUGAGUGUUGGUCACAUAGCGAUAUGAACUAUUGGUGUUAAUCACAUAGUGAUGUGAACUAUUGUUGUUAAAUCACAUGGCGAUGUGAGCUAGAUUAUUGACUCUAGUGCAAGUGGGAGACUGAAGGAAAUAUGCCCUAGAGGCAAUAAUAAAGUUAUUAUUUAUUUCCUUAUAUCAUGAUAAAUGUUUAUUAUUCAUGCUAGAAUUCUAUUAAAUGGAAACAUGAUACAUGUGUGAAUACAUAGACAAACAGAGUGUCACUAGUAUGCCUCUACUUGACUAGCUCGUUGAUCAAAGAUGGUUAUGUUUCCUAGCCAUAGACAUGAGUUGUCAUUUGAUUAACGGGAUCACAUCAUUAGGAGAAUGAUGUGAUUGACUUGACCCAUUCCGUUAGCUUAGCACUUGAUCGUUUAGUAUUCUGCUAUUGCUUUCUUCAUGACUUAUACAUGUUCCUAUGACUAUGAGAUUAUGCAACUCCCGUUUACCGGAGGAACACUUUGUGUGCUACCAAACGUCACAACGUAACUGGGUGAUUAUAAAGAUGCUCUACAGGUGUCUCCGAAGGUACUUGUUGGGUUGGCGUAUUUCGAGAUUAGGAUUUGUCACUCCGAUUGUCGGAGAGGUAUCUCUGGGCCCACUCAGUAAUGCACAUCACUAUAAGCCUUGCUAGCAUUGUAACUAAUGAGUUAGUUGCGGGAUGAUGUGUUACGGAACGAGUAAAGAGACUUGCCGGUAACGAGAUUGAACUAGGUAUUGAGAUACCGACGAUCGAAUCUCGGGCAAGUAACAUACCGAUGACAAAGGGAACAACGUAUGUUGUUAUGCGGUUUGACCGAUAAAGAUCUUCGUAGAAUAUGUAGGAGCCAAUAUGAGCAUCUAGGUUCCGCUAUUGGUUAUUGACCGGAGACGUGUCUCGGUCAUGUCUACAUAGUUCUCGAACCCGAAGGGUCCGCACGCUUAAAGUUCGGUGACGAUUUAUAUUAUGAGUUAUGUGUUUUGAUGUACCGAAGGUAGUUCGGAGUCCCGGAUGAGAUCGGGGACAUGACGAGGAGUCUCGAAAUGAUCGAGACGUAAAGAUCGAUAUAUUGGACGACUAUAUUCGGACAUCCGAAAGGUUUCGAAUGAUUCGGGUAUUUUUCGAAGUACCAGAGAGUUACGGGAAUUCGUCGGGGAGUAUAUGGGCCCUAUUGGGCUUUAGGGAAAAGAGAGAGGGGAGGCUGCGCCCCCCCCCCCCCAAGGCCUAGUCCAAAUUGGACUAGGGGGAGGGGCUGCGCCCCGUCCUUCCUUCUCUUCUCUUUUCCUUUUCCUAGACUCCUACUCCUACUACUUGGAAGAGGGGGAAUCCUACUCCCGGUGGGAGUAGGACUCCUCCUGGGCGCGCCAUAGGAGGGCCGGCCCUUCCCCCUCCUCCACUGCUUUAUAUACGGGGGCAGGGGGCACCUCUAGACACACAGGUUGAUCUGUUGAUCUAUUCCAGCCGUGUGCGGUGCCCCCCUCCAUCAUAUUCCACCUCGGUCAUAUCAUAGUGGUGCUUAGGUGAAGCCCUGCGUUGGUAACAACAUCAUCACUGUCAUCAGCCGUCGUGCUGACGGAACUCUCCCGCAAAGCUCUGCUGGAUCGGAGUUCGUGGGACGUCAUCGAGCUGAACGUGUGCUGAACUCGGAGGUGCCGUGCGUUCGGUACUUGGAUCGGUCGGAUCGUGAAGACGUACGACUACAUCAACCGCGUUGUCAUAACGCUUCCGCUUUCGGUCUACGAGGGUACGUGGACACACUCUCCCCUCCCGUUGCUAUGCAUCACCAUGAUCCUGUGUGUAGGAAAUUUUUUGAAAUUACUACGUUCCCCAACACUAUCAUCCUCCGGACCAAGUGCAUCGAGGCAGUCCAUCGCUCACCAACUAGCGCAUGUCAGAACUGAAUAUUCAAGGGAGUCGUUUUUAAUACUGUGCCUACGUAAUCCUCCUUACAUUGCACGAUGUUAUAAAGGGUGGGAUGUUGUACGCCUAGGGGCGUCUCUCCUAACCACGUAUCCUUCUAAAAUCUUGUUGACAUCCCAUUGCCAACCAAGAAUUUGACCCUACGAAAGAACAAGUCCUACGUUCUCAUGAGUCCCUUCCAGAAUGGCGAGUCAGUUGGUCUCACGGUAACCUGGGCGAGCGUUUUUGACUGUAAAUACUUAUUGCGUAGAAUCUGUGCCCACAUACCUUCCGGCUCUGCCUCUAACUUGUAGAGCCAUUUACUCAUAAGACAUUUAUUCUUAAUUUCCAGGUUCUCAAUACCGAGACCCCCCUGGUCCUUGGGUCGGCAAAGAAUAUCCCAUCGGGCGAGACGGUAUUUCCUCUUGGCCUCAUCAGACUGCCAGAAGAAUUGAGAUCUAAAUAAAUAAAGUCUCUUCCGCACCCCUUUCGGUAUCUCGAAGAACGAUAGCAGGAACAUCCGCAUACUAGUACGUACCGAGUUAAUCAGCACUAGCCGACGUCCAUACGACAUAAGCUUGCUCUUCCAACUACUAAGCUUUUUUUCAAUUCGAUCUUCGUUGCACUUCCAUUCUAUAUUAGAUAACUUACGGUGAUGAAUCGGUAUGCCCAAAUAACUGAAUGGCAAAGAACCUAAUUCACACCCGAAUAGUUGUCUAUACAUGUCUUGCUCUUCUUUGGCCUUUCCAAAGCAGAACAACUCGCUCUUGAUAAAAUUUAUCUUUAAUCCAGACAAUUGUUCGAAGAGACAUAAUAUGACUUUCAUAUUUCGCGCUUUUGCAAUGUCAUGUUCCAUGAAUAGGAUAGUGUCGUCAGCGUACUAUAAAAUGGAGACUCCCCCAUCGACCAGAUGAGGGACUAACCCCUCCACAUGACCGUUUUGCUUGGCCCUACAAAUAAGAAUGGUCACCAUAUCGGCCAUUAUAUUAAAUAGGAGAGGAGACAUGGAAUCCCCUUGUCUCAAUCCCUUGUGUGUAUGAAAGUAAUGACCAAUAUCAUCGUUAACCUUGAUUCCGACACUACCCUUCUAGACUUGAGAACCCACUUGGUUCUGCCAGGCCUCACUAAAUCCUUUCAUGUGCAUUGCCUGCUGAAGGAAAGGCGAUUUAACUUUAUCAUAUGCCUUCUCAAAAUUCACUUGGAAGAUAACCCCUCCAUCUAGCUUCUUCGAAUGAAUUUCAUGCAGGGUUUCAUGUAGAACGACCACCCCUUCAAGUAUGUGUCGCCCCGGCAUGAAAGCUGUCUGGCUCGGUGGUACCACUGAAUGAGCAAUUUGUGUCAAUCUAUUGGUACCCACUUUCGUGAAUAUUUUGAAACUCACAUUAAGAAGACAUAUUGGCCUGAAUUGUUCGAUCCGAACUGCCUCUUCUUUCUUUGGCAACAGUGUAAUCAUACUAAAGUUAAGAUGAAACAGUUCUAAAUGACCGUUAAAAAUCAUGAAACAUAGGCAUAAGAUCAUCUUUAAUAAUAUGCCAACAUUUCCUAUAGAAUUCAGCUGGAAACCCAUCUGGUCCCGGUGCUUUAUUCAGUUUCAUUUGUGAGAUUGCAUCCAAAACCUCUUUGUCAGUAAAUGGUGCAGAUAGAAUAUCAUUCUCCUCUACUCGAAGCUGAGGGAUAUCUCCAAUAAAAUAUUCAUUAAGGGACACCGUGCUUGCUUCCGGAGGCCCAAAAAGUUCUUUGUAAUAAUUAGAGAUAUAAGCUUUCAGAUUCUCACGCCCUGCAAUUGUCCCGUUGUCCUGUUCAAGCUGUAUUAUUUUCUUCUUCCUAUGUUUACCAUUCGUGAUCAUAUGAAAGAAUUGUGUAUUGUCAUCCCCUUGGACAACCUUAAGCACUUUAGCCCGCAAUGCCCACUUGAGCUCCUCUUCUCUAAGAAGGGCUCGUAAGCCUUGAUGGGUUUCGGACUUGGAGCUCUGCUCAUCAGCCGUAGGAAGGUUAACUUCAGCUUUUAAAUCUAGCGCAUCUAUUAAUUGGGUGAGUCGCUCUUUUUCUUGUAUGUAUAUGCCACUCUCGUUUCUGGCCCAAUCUCGCAAAACUGUCUCAGUUGUCUAAUUUUAUUUUGCCGUCUCUCAAUAAUUGUUCGUCCACUAACAGGGUUUGCCCAUUCGCGUGCAAUGAUCUCCAAGAAGUUUUCUUUCUCGAAUCAACCUAGUUCGAACGAGAAAGCAUUCUUGUUUGCAAUAUGUGUAGCCUAUCCCGAGUCUACUAGUAAUGGUGUGUGGUCUGAGAUCGCCCUCUGCAUCGCAUGUACCGGCACUAAUGGGUAUUUUUGUUCCCAAUCCACACUAGCGAGCACCCUAUCCAACUUCUCAUAAGUUGGAGUGGGCAACGAAUUGGCCCAUGUAAAUUGUCUACCGGUGAGCUCAAUUUCUCUCAAACUAAGACUCUCAAUAAUCAUGUUAAACAUCAUAGACCAGCGUCCAUCAAAAUUGUCAUUGUUCUUUUCAUCUCUCCUCCGAAUUAUGUUAAAAUCCCCUCUGACUAGGAUUGGAACAGUCUCGUCUCCACAGAUCCGCACCAAGUCGGCUAAAAAAUCUGGUUUGAGUUUGGGUUGUGCUUCCCCAUAUACAGCAAUGAGAGACCAUCGGAAGCCAUCCAAUUUCGAUCUCACCCGAAACUUGACAGCAGAAUCCCCCCGAACCACGUUAAGCACCUCAAGCGUUUCGCACCGAACUCCUAGUAAUAUCCCACCAGAUCUUCCUCUAGGAGGUAAAACGUGGCAAUCAAAAUCAAUUCCUCCGGAUAAAGUUCCAAGGAACUGUGAGGUGAAAUUAUCCCGUCCUGUUUCGAGUAGAGCAACGAAAUCUAAUUUUUUUCUCAAUCGUUGUCUCUGCCAAGAACUUUCGUUUAGCCAAGUCAGCUAGACCUUUGCUAUUCCAAAAUAUCCCUUUCAUAAGUCAUCAUUGAAUUUUUUUUCUUAGCCUUAACCCUAGCACUUCUAUGAACUGCCGAAGUAGGAUAAAUUUUCUGUUUCCAGGGUCUCCUGGGCUUCUCCCCAUCGCCCUUCGGGAACGUAGGAUCGACAGAACACGAGACAGUGCCCUCCAUCAUUGGAGGCUCUACAGUGUCCCCAGUCUCCAACCCCUCCUCAUCUUCGGCCUCCACAUUAGGCAAGAGAUUAUCACAUAUGUUUUCAAGAGCAGCCAUUCCUGAAUUUUUUAUGUCACUGUCAUUCAUAGGUUUGAUUGAUGCGAGAUUCCGAAUUGUUUCAGAAGCCCUCUCCGCUUCUAAAUCUAAAAGAUCAUUUACAGAUUUCGCAACCUCCUUCUCAUUCAAACCCAAAGAUAUACCUAAGUCGUUUGCCUUAUCAAUAAUUUCAUGCUCGAUGAAAUGCAGAAUUGAACAACUCUUAUCAAAAGACAUACCUUUAGUUGCCUCGACAUCUCGAAGCUUGGCCGCCCUCAUGGCGCGCGCUAGCUGCAGGUCAUCAGCAUCUAGUUGUCCCUGGAUCCGGUUGCUGACACGCCUACCAGCUGUUACCGGAUCCGGGAUCCCACCGAAAGCGAUAAGCUCCUCUGUAGUCAUCUCCCGAGGCGUGUGGUCCCCGCUCCCACGCCCUUGCCUUGUUGCUGGUGAAGAAGGGUAAGGCGCGGUCGAGCGGGAAACGCCAACCGAAGUAAUGGGAGAAGGAGACCAUGGAGCCACCUGCUCGAGAGUCCCACUCCCCCCCCAAACCGUCAACGCGGCGUGGAGUCGAAACGGGAGAAGGGGAGUUGUUGGCCUCCUGCCCAUACCCCUGUCUGUGCCGCCCGGAGCUACCCCGUGGUGAGAGGGCGCCGCGGGCUUCCUGCCCGCGCACCUCCCCAAGGUGGCCAGGGACCGCCGCGGGUGGGCUGGUGGUGCGAGCCUCCUGCCCACNNNNNNNNNNNNNNNNNNNNNNNNNNNNNNNNNNNNNNNNNNNNNNNNNNNNNNNNNNNNNNNNNNNNNNNNNNNNNNNNNNNNNNNNNNNNNNNNNNNNNNNNNNNNNNNNNNNNNNNNNNNNNNNNNNNNNNNNNNNNNNNNNNNNNNNNNNNNNNNNNNNNNNNNNNNNNNNNNNNNNNNNNNNNNNNNNNNNNNNNNNNNNNNNNNNNNNNNNNNNNNNNNNNNNNNNNNNNNNNNNNNNNNNNNNNNNNNNNNNNNNNNNNNNNNNNNNNNNNNNNNNNNNNNNNNNNNNNNNNNNNNNNNNNNNNNNNNNNNNNNNNNNNNNNNNNNNNNNNNNNNNNNNGGAAUCAGCCCUCUGAGAUGAAAGUACCUUUGUCGACACAACAUCAGGCAGCAUCACUGGCGGUAGCUCGAUCUCCCAUGGAUCGUCCGCUUCAACUCAGUUACUCCAUAACCGGCUAGGCGCAGACCGCGCUCCAAAAGAGCCAAACCGAAGUGUAUUCAUCGGUUUCAUGGAAGACGACGCCUCCUUGGCAGACUUAUCCGCCUUGUCCGACUGCGACUUCGGCCCCUCAGCCGACUCUCGUGGUGUGCUCUCAGGCCCCUUGUCUUGAUUCCCGGGGGCUCCAUCUCCCUCAGGCGUAUCCAUAUCCUGAUGCUCAUCCCCCUCCUGAGGUAUCGGUGUAUCCUCAAUCUCAAUCUCAAGCACGUAAGUGACCCCGGCAUGCGUCCACUUGACCACAUCCGGCACGAACUCAAGACUGGUCACACUGACAAGUAACCUCGCAGCUCCGUGUGCACGAGUGAAAGGCAUGUCUACCUGUUCCGUCUUACCAAUGGGCGAUCCCAAGCUUCUGGCUACCAAGAAGUGCUUAAUCAGUUUGGGUGGUGCAUCAUAGAACCGUACCCAGACCUUCUCUAAAGGUGUACCCUCGGGCUCCUUCUGCUUCCACUCAUCAAAAGCCAUGAUAAUUUUCGUACUCGGUACUCUGCACAUGCCAAACUUAAGGAUAUGGAACUGAUCCUCUUUAGUGGGAAAAUCGACCUUGAAAGUUUGGUUCUCCAACUUGACAAGGUCCCAUUGAUGGUUGCCUGGUACCAACUCCCGCAACUGCCGCACAAUCUGUGCCUCUGUCAUGAUCCCAUUAGUAACCUUGACAACUGCAGGAAAGGAGCUCUCCAUCACAUGCGCCAUAGGUGCCACAUCAGGUGACUCAAAAAACAAUAACUCCUGACAGCAAACCCCGCAAAUAUUGACCACCAGCUUGGGGCCUGAAAUAAGCGGGCACUCACUGGACACAUGCUGCGAUCUACAACAGUAAUUACAUAGCUCUGUGGUACAUUCUGCCACAAAAUGUCCCGGCUCGCCACAUCUGUAACACGGUAACUUCUUCUUCUUAAGAGUCCACUUGGAUAACUUUUCACCAUCAGGUUUGUCCGAUCCCUUGUCAGAACCUCCGUCACCGGCCUUAGCAGCUCCAGUGUUCAUCACCGGAAUGCUAACCGCUGCCAAAGCCUAGACCUUGUCUACAACCACCUCGGGAAGAGCAGGUGAGGCCAUCUCCACCGUAGUAACUAGCUCGGCUUGGGCCACAACACCCACAACAACAGGCGGUGGUGGAGGUCACGGUGGAGGCAGGCGCCGACCCCUCCUCUCCCACCACGGAAACCACAAUGACUUCCCCGGUUAUAUGGUUAUUAGGGCCGGCCACCCCCUCGACGAAGUUGUCGGGAGGUCCUUCAAAACCGCGUCUGGUUCCUCCGCCAUUGUACCACGCGUAUCCGCCCCCACCUCCAGUGGAGGAUGAACCGCGGUGCUGUCCUUCGCCAUACGCAUCAUAUCCAUCGUCACCCCACUGUCCACGGGGCGGGUAACCAUAGCCGUCAGCGCCGGAGUACUCACAGCCACCGCCAUAUUGGCCAUCGCGGCCCCGGCCAAAGUACUGGCGCCCCGCAGCCGGUGCAGCAGUCGGCAGCCGCGCGUCCCGCGCUGCCUUUUGGUGCCUUGAAGCUCCCCAUCCCAAGGGGUGGAAUCGCCGAGAUCCGCCUCCUGCGGCGGCGCGGGAAGAGACGGCUUCGAGGAGGGACCCUACAGCGACGGCAGCACACCUGCCGAAGAAGACGGCGGCGGCAGCAGGGCAUCCGGCGGGUGCGGGCUGUCAGGUGGCAGCAUCGCCUAGCAAGUGGGAGACUCUUAUUUCUUCUUCAAGUAAUAAUGGAAAGGCCUUUCAGAGAUUACAAGAUGCACAGAGAGGGCCACGCAGUUACACAGAGAUUACAAGAUACAUAGAGCUGCCAGGUGGGGCAUCAGCGAGCAGCGUCGCUAGAACGAUCUGAAUAACUUGCACCACAUUUGUUCUAAAGUUCCUGUUUUUUUUUUUACUACCAAACCUGCAGCUUUGCGCCUAACUUUGAAAAGGUUCCAUAUGACGAUGCAAUCCAAAUUUGCCUUUUUGAUCGACUACUCUCAGAUGUAGUAGAUUAUACCAAUGACAACAGCUGCAGAUUUAUAUCCCACAAAAAACAUGUUGGUUACUGAAGCUAAGUCGUAAGCACUUUUCACGGUGAAGAUCCAGGCUUUUCCUUGUUUCCACAUUAUUACCCGAGUUGAAUGAUCUGCAUUUCUCAGGCAUCGCUUGUUUCAUACAGGUCCACGACUCCACAUCACCAUUGUUGGUUUGGAGAGGGAGGAAAGGAAGAAGCGGGAAGGGCUCCUUUGUUCUAGUGGAGCUAUGUCCGACUAGUUAGGGGUCAUCCUGAGAUGAAAUCAAAAUGUCAAAGGAGAAAUCCGAUGACUGUGUAUGGGUGGCUCCAUGAAAUUUUCCUUCUUCUCUCGGUGCGUUGAGUCAGUGUUGUCGCCGCAAUGCCGGUUAGUUGUGAAAAGGGUGGGCGCUUGUAACCUUGGUCUGACAAAAAAUUUCUUACUAAUAUGUUCGUUCACUCAAAUGAAAUGUCCCAACAACCGCUAAAGAUUGUUUAGAUAGAUAGAGAAUACAUGAAACAUGUUGAUGUAUUUAAAGAGAAACAAUCACAUCUCUAGUUCAAAAUGUUCUCUAGCCCACCGUGGUAAAUUGUAUAAUUGUCUAUGCAAACCAUAAAAAUUGAUAUCUAAACAAAAAAUUUAAGUGAAGAAACCGCGGUUUAGCAAAUGAAAAAUUACAAAAUAAAUUAAGUGGUUGAAAACAUAAGAUUUGUUUUAAAGGGAGAGACACGGUGAGUGGGCCCUAAGUCCACCUUAACGACUUGUCAAAAGAGUCUUUAAAAUUUUAUGCCACAUCAGCUUGAUAGCCGCCACCCACGGAUCAAUUUCAGCAUCAAAUGCUAGUUAUCGGCCUAUCCCUGCAAUUUGAAAAUUCACUGCUGGAUGCCAAUUCUGUUCUCCGAAUAAGUGAAUGCCGGUGGUUUUUUGAAACCUAACCCCAAUUAUGGUGGUUACUUGCAAUCUACUCCUAGAGCUUAAAGCACACUUUUUGGGCAGUAAGUUGGAUAUAUGCAUUAUAAUAGUGACACUGAUCAGAUUAGUAGUUCUGGAAAACAAAUAGAUGUGCAGAUGCCAUGCCAAAUCAUGCAAGUUAGUAAACAUUUUUUUUAAACGAGUGGCUGUGUGCAUCACACUGGUGCAGAGGCCUGGAGUUAACCUCCUUUUCGGGGGGAAAUCCAUGUUAGUUAAUAGUUACAAUCAGGUUAAGUAACUGGAGAAACUGGAAGAUGCCCCGCGCGUUGCUGCGGGACCAUUUUCUACAACUAUAUUGUCAUAUAAAGAAACAGGAAAAAAAGAUAUAAUGUAAAGUCAAUGACCUAUGUAAUCUAGCAUGAUGUUCACAAAGAUUAAAUGAUGCCUUAGAAUUGUCGAUAAAUAGAAUAUUGGUGAUAAGAACACAAUACAUAUGCGAAAUGAACUCCACAACCAAUGACUAAAUCGGCGGGCACCUGCAAAUGAGCCACUAAAUAUAGGUCUCUCUAAAUUCCUGAAGCCAAUCUUUUGAAUGACACAAGUGAAGCACUGAAAUUAGUACUGGUCUCAAUAUCUGGAUGAAAAAAGUGAUAUCAAUGGCAUGGUUUCCUGACCGUUCCUACUCGCGAUGUUUAGGUCCACCAAAACUAAAGGAUCGCAAAAAUUAGGGUGCGUCUACUCAGUAAUAAUGAUCUAAGUGACAUUAUCAAGAUCUGCUAAAAGAACAUGAUGUGGAAGCCUGGACGUGUAACAGAGGACAGAAGAUGUCCUUGGCAACUCGCAUGGCUCCAGUAAAUUGCUGCUCCAAAUCGGCCAAUCUUAGUGGCGCGUGUUGUGUAGAAUGAUGGAGAUGCCGCAGCAAUGUAUGUGCAGCAAGCGGAUGGGUCUGUCACCAUUUCUCUGAUGAUCUGUACGCGAUACCAGUAUGUCCACCCUGUGUAGAAGACAGAAAAAUGAAAUUGUGAAAACAAAAUAGUUGCCUCACAUAUAUGCCUACCUAAAUUCAUCCAAGCCUAUCUUUUUGAAUGAGUGACAAUUAUGACUUACUUGAAUAGAAGGGAUAAUGAGAUUUCGUCCUGGGUUGUUGUAGAUGAUUUGUUCCAACCAAUGCAUUGCAUGCAAUGAAGGGAAUCAUAUGCAUAACGUACUGAAACAAAUAUAAGAUGCAUGUCAUGUGUUCAUCCAGUUCACAUAAUAAAUUUUAUAGAUGGGAUGAUUAUGUACUAACUCGAGCGGUAGGAAACCUAUGCAGGAAGAAAGCACAAAUAACCAUCGCCAUCUGCAACAAAUCAUCGAUCAACUUGUGGACAAAUCUGACAAAAUAAGAAAUCAGAUAAAAGAUUGGAUUAGACGAAGCAAAGAGGGCUAGAGAGGGACCCAAUCACUCAGCGCGUACAUGUUGGGAAGAGUAAUCAAAGAUCUGAGUCCAGUUGUGGUGGAAGAUGAUUCUCUUCUUUCAGAAAGGAUAAGCGAGCGGUUCAGUUAGCUCCUCCGCAUUUGUGUCAUUGUGUGGUGCCGCCGUUCGUUUCUGGCACAUUUGCAGGAAAGGAGAUUGUGGGGAAGAGGAGACGAUUAGGCAGAGUGAAGAGCCGAACAGGCACAGGCACGAGAGAAGACAGAAAUCCAACGUCGUGCCAUAGUGGGCAUUUAUUUUUUUUAAACAAAGUAGAGACGCAAGCGCUCAUACACACGCGCAUACACUCACCCCUAUGAACGUACACACGCACAUCCUACCCCUAUGAGCACCUCCGAAAGACUAAGCCGGCAUAUCAUCUUGAAAUUUACGAAGUCACCACAGGCACCUCGUCGUCGACGGGAACGUCUCCUCCCACUGAAUGCGCAUCGCGGAAAAUCCUGAAAUAAAUCCAGAAAUAAAUGCUUGAACCCUAGUGGACUGGGGAUACCGCGGUCCUCUAACCAUCCAACCACAGGUUGGUUCGCUAGUGGGCAUUUAUUCUGGCAUGUAUUCGUAGAUGGGCCAAUAAGCUGGCCUACUACGAGUUUGUAUAUGCAGCAGACCAUGAGGCAUAUGGUGGCCUGGGGUUGCGGCGAGGUGGUGGCAGUGGAGGAGGAGCAUCGAUUCCUAUGUGCAUUGUUGGCAGUUGUGCGGCCGGCUAGCCGGCGCGGCCGGCCAGGGGAGAUAGGCGACCCUGUGUGGACGAACAAAGAGGUUGUGAACGAAGACGCAUUUGUUCCUCUUCCUAUUCCGUAACUGACUAGAGAAAUAAGAGGCCAGUCCUUGGCUCCCCACUUCUCAUAUGAAGUGGGCAAUAAGUAAUGAUCCAUGGUAUGGGAGUAUGACUAUUCAUAUUCACAUUGACUACACAAACCAAACUUUAUUAUCAGAUCCACACUGAAAAGAUAUGAUCCCAAACACACAACCAAACAUAUAUCAUAACUAUAACAAACAAAUGGACAUGGAUUUUUGGAUUAAUAGAAUAUCCUAGGCUAAAAAUCCACUGAUUACUUGAAAAGGAAAACAUUGACAAGCUUGUAUAGUUCCUUUCAUAGCUACCCGUAUAUGGGUAGCUACAGCCCAACCUAGUUUUUGAACAUAUUAUUGGAUGGUGGCGCCAGAUGUAGUGUCCUGCAAAAAAAAGGUAUAAUCAACAUCACUACAUACCAAGAAACCAGUCAUUAAGGUAUUGAUGGAAAUUUGUCAGGAAAAUGUAACAAUCAUAAUGCCAGAUGACUAAAACUAGCUUUGAAAUUUAUAGGCUUAUUUGUUAAAUAACCUUAACUACGUCCAAUUGUCAAUACCAUGACGUUUAAAUUUCUUUCAGCUGGACAAGAUAUACAUGCUAGAAUCAAGAAGAAAAAUAUAUACAGACUAAGUAGCUGAAUGUAUGUACUUACAGAAGGUUUGGCGUAGAAUGCAUGGAUAUUAAGUUCUUUAAUAGUUUGAAAUGUAGGGGGGUUGGCGGGCGUGUUAUACUUGAUGACCCCACGUGCCACAGCAAACUCCCCAGUCCCACCCAUAAUGGCCAUCUGGCCUUGGCCUGUUUGAAAAUUGAUCCCCAUCGCUUCGAAUGAUGAUCCAUUGUACAUGAUAUAGUUUUGUACGGCAAUAUCAUACUCCCUCCGUCCGAAAAUACUUGUCAUCAAAAUGGAUAAAAAGGGAUGUAUCUAGAAUUAAUAUACAUCUAGAUACAUCCUCUUUUAUUCAUUUUGAUGACAAGUAUUUUCGGACGGAGGGAGUAUAUCAUAUGAAAUUGGAAAAUAUUUAGUAUCUGAGACCUUUGUAACUAAGCAUAUAUGCUAUGUAACCAGGAAAACUAAAAACUUAUACUAGUCCAAAAGUAUAUAAAAAUAACCUAGAGUUCUUCUCGAACACCAUGCUGAAGUAGUUGAACCAGCCUGGACCGGCUAUGUCAGCUUGCACUUGCAUGCCUUUGGUACGGGCAACAAUGGUGGCAGUAGCGGGGUUUUGUCCAUCAAUUACAGUCCAGUCGGUAACGGAAGUUAGACCAAAAACAGAUCGUUUGCUGGAGGUAACAAUUACUACCUGGUUGGUGCCCGGCCCAGAGGCGAUUUGGUGCAAUUACAAGUGCAAGUUAACCUCGGACUCACGCUGAAGAACACAGGAAAGGGAUGCAGUUGCCAUGGAUAGAAUGAAAUGCAGGAUUAGGACCAUGGACAGGACUACAAGGCUAGGGCUGGCCAUGCCUAGCUAGGGUUUUGGCUGGCAGAAGAUGGAGUAAUUGACAAAAAACUACCACAUUUCACGUAAGCGUCCCACAGAACUACCUUUUUUGAAAACUGACCAAAAACUCCAGUUUAUUGCUGAUUUCGUGAUAAAAAACUACCACAUCGCGUUGAUGACCGUUUCAAGCGUUUUAAACGUCUUUCUGACAAAUCGGGCCCACCUUUCAGGACGAAGGCCGCGCUAACGGCUAACGGCGCUCGCCUGGCGCCCGUUAGCCGUGCGCGUCGGUCGGCCCGGUCGGACCAGGACUAACCUGGCCGACCGGCUGGCUCGUCGUCCCCCACCACCUCACUCUCCCCCCACCCNNNNNNNNNNNNNNNNNNNNNNNNNNNNNNNNNNNNNNNNNNNNNNNNNNNNNNNNNNNNNNNNNNNNNNNNNNNNNNNNNNNNNNNNNNNNNNNNNNNNNNNNNNNNNNNNNNNNNNNNNNNNNNNNNNNNNNNNNNNNNNNNNNNNNNNNNNNNNNNNNNNNNNNNNNNNNNNNNNNNNNNNNNNNNNNNNNNNNNNNNNNNNNNNNNNNNNNNNNNNNNNNNNNNNNNNNNNNNNNNNNNNNNNNNNNNNNNNNNNNNNNNNNNNNNNNNNNNNNNNNNNNNNNNNNNNNNNNNNNNNNNNNNNNNNNNNNNNNCACUCGCUCACUCACUCUGCUCCUCUGCUCUCCACUGCUCCUAUUCUUCUUCUCGCACUCCGGCGACGCCGCGACCAUGCCGUCGUGGCCCAACAGCAACGAGACCUCUGACGAUGACGAGUACAUGAGCGAGUUCAGUAGCAUGCAGAUGGAGUAUUUUGUAAGUCAGCUCAAUCUCUCCUCUCCUCUCCUCUGCUAUGGUUAGGGUUAGGGUUUGAAGAAGGAUAUGGAUUUCUCCAUUUAAGUUCAUGUAUGCGAGCUGUAGUUGAUAUAUAUGUGUUUCCUGGUGCAGCAAACUCCAGACACUGUGAUAGAUCCAAGCUUUUCUGGGCUUGUGACUGAAUCUGACCGUAGGUGCAUCCCGCACAGGGAGAGGGCUGGCAAAUUUGUGGCAUUUGAAGGCACUGACACUGGCAGGAGAUUCGUAGGAUGUGUAACUGAGGUAAUGAACCAAGUUGUCAUGGCUGUGAUUGAUUCAUUUUGUGCUUUUUUGAAUAAUGCUGCUGCUUUUCUCAUUUUUGCUUAAUUAUAAGAGCAGUGCUCUGUCUAAAUUAUGUACUUAUAGCAAAUAGCAGCAAAGAGCAAUGGAACCAAGAGCUAGUGUAGUGUAGCUACAUUUAUGAGUACUGUUUAUGAUUUGUUAUUGUGAAUAUGUUUGUUAAUGAAGAAUAAAGCUCACUUCAAAUUUAACUGAAUUUUCAGGAUGGUGUGAACUGUUGUGUUUUAGAGUGGGUAGAUGCCCCUUGGCCUGUAACUUUGCAAAGGUGCUUAACCAAGCUCUGGGAUAUGUAUCAUGAAGAGAACCUUGGUAGAGUCCAAGACAAAGAGGCUCAUGAGAUAGAGGUUGAGAAACUGAAGAAGGAGUUGGAUUCUCUUGGCAAUCAGUACAGUCAGCUUGUGGAUGAUGUAUCCAAGCUGUUUGAUUACCAGGAUGGGCAGAAAUCCCAUGACAUGGAUUACACAAGCCAGGCAAUCAAUGAACUUAAGGAGAAGAAGCAUCAGCUUGAGGAGAAGGCAAAGAUUGAGAUUCAAAUGGAGAAGCUUAAGCUCAAGAAAGAACAGAGGUGCAUCCUGCAGAGUCAAGCUGAUAUCAUUCAAAACACCAGGAAAGCCAUGAAGGAGAUACAAGUUGAGAGAGACCUCCUUAAAGAAGAGAAGAAGAAGCUGGAGCAUAUCAUUGUUGGGCUCUUGAAGGCAGGUCAUGGGUGCAAAGAAAAGCUAGACAAGAUCAAAGAAGUUUUCAUGGAGGAGUGAAGUGGUACCUAGGGUUGGUAAGUGAAUAUGAGGCAUAUAUAUAUAACUGGCCUAGUACUAGAAUCUGAUGCAGAUAUGCAUCUUAGUAUUAAUAUGAACUCCCUAUUAACUGCCUAUGGUUUCAGAUCAUUUUGGUUGUGUUGUUGGGUGAUGUAAUGCCCCUGAUCUGUAAUGCUCUAAGAUAAUCCUAUUUCUAAUGCCCCCUGAACCAUAUUAUCCAGAUGUUGUUAUAUCUACAUCUGCAAUUUGUUGCUGCUAGGUAGUUGUUGCUAAUACUUACACUUGAAUCUAGUAACACCAAACAACACUGAAACUGAAAAUGAAAAUGAAAAUGAAACUGAAACUUGCAUUACAUAGGAGGUAGCAUAGAUAACACAUAUUGUCUAAGGAUGCAACAUAGAUAGCAUUACAUAGAUAGAUAGCACCAAAUAGUCUGAGGAUAACUGAAACUAGCCAACACUGAAUAAGACUGACGAAACUGAAUGUGAAACUAAAUAGUUUCACAUUCAGUUUCAGUUAGGCGCCUGCCCUGCUAAACGGCCUGAGCAUCGUACCUCCUGGUUCACUUCGGUGGGAGGAUUCGGCAGCUUCUGCACCUCCUGUUCUUCUUCAUCGAUGAAGAUGAUGGGAGGAGGGCGGCGGCGAGCCUGCAGUGCUGGUGGUGCGAUGAUCUGGAUGUCGUCGUCCUCGUCUUGGUGCUUGUUUGCAUUUGCUUCAGCCGUAGAUUAUGCUGGAGCGACGUAGUGGUGGUCUGCCCACCGCUGCCUCUGCCCAGCAUCGGCGGAGCCCGCCUCUUUCAUUGCCCAUAGCAGUAUAUCUAUGGCCAGGAUCCCCUUACCUCGGUUUCCAUAUUGUUGGUCCAUGCGUUGCUUCUCCUCACUCGUCGCCUUCUUUCUCACUUCGUCUGCUCCAUCCACCAGCUCUUGAACGCUGGUGUACCUUGUGGCGACCUUCAUGUAGUCCACGAAGAGGUCGUCGUCGCCGCGCGCUGAACCAUAAAGCAUGGCAACCCAUCCCUUGCCAGUUGGGAAUGGGUUGAGCCAUGGGUCCGAAGAAGAGGAAGAAGCAACCAUGGUUGGAGCAGGAAGUGGUGAGUGCAGUGGUGUUGAGCGAGGUGAAGUUGUGGUGAUGUGAGUAGAGUAGCUGAAGAAAGAGGGGGGUAGUUAAAGAGAGGUGGAGUGAGGUAGUGGAGAAGUAAAACGUGUGCAGUAGUAUUUGACAUCCAUCUCAAUAUAAGUGUCUCGACUUUGUACUAACUUCAAUAGUUCCACAACACCAUAAAUUUCACCAGUCUUAAAUAGUUGAUGAUCGCAAGCUGCACAAAAUGAAUAUUUCACACCCUAAGCUAUAAAAUGCAUUGAAAAUACAUUAGUAUGCAGUACUAGAACAUCAAUAAAAAUUCUCUGUGGGUCAAUCAGAUAUUAGAGAACAUUGAAGUUGCUCUCUGAACUGUCACCUGAGCUCGCUAGUGAAAGCAAUCAUAUGGGUCAUUAGCAAUUUUCAUUUGUAUAUUGCUGGUAAAUGUACUCAACUGUUAGAAAAAUAUGUUCACAAAAACUAAAGCUGCUGAUGGAUACAUAAAAACCCACCAACCAUUUUAGAAUAAUUUGGGGACAACGACUCUCAAAUCAUUAAGCCCCAUAUCACACGGAUCACAACGAUGCGUAGUCCUAAUAUUAGAUAGGAAAAAGCAUGUGCUCAUAAUAAAAGAUCAACAAAUGUACUCAACUGUCAUACCACCAAUACUUUUGAGUAUUUCUUGGAAAAUAAAAUAUAAACAGUACUGCUAAAAAUAUCAAAUCAAUGUGCCAUUAUCUCCUACAAAGAUCCAAAGGGGAAAUCAGUAGAGAAAAAGUGGUUCUGGAGUAAGAAAAAAAAUCUCAUCUGUUUUGCUGACUUGCAUUGCACGUAAAGUUAUGCCCAAAAUGUAAUGCUUGACCUGGGAAUAAUUUAGUUUUGUAGUAUACUGCGAAUAAAUCAUGCUCAAUUGUAUUGGAACCCAAUAUACUCCCCAAGACCCAUGUCGCCAGAACUAAGUUCUGAAUGAACUUUACUACAUAGUCAUCAAGCUGUAGCAUUUUUUCGGUAUGUUAGCAAUGCAGCACAUCAGGUAUUUAUGUGUUUGAACAUCAUGUGAAUUCAAACCGGAAUUCCUUCAUUCAUGAAAUGGAACAUAGCGUAAUGGAGAGAUCAAGAAUGAAAAAGACUUACCAUGUUAUAUUAGAGAUGCAAAUCAUGAACUUUUUGCGCAUGCAAGCAGGAGCUGGACCUCCAAAUAUGUGUCAUCCCCACAAACCUGCACGCAAUACCUGAUAAACAUUCUGCUUAGAUUAAGGACCAGUUAGGUAUACAAUUUUCUGUACUAUACACCCACCAUUAGAUCUGAAUUUGAAAGAAAUAACGAUUCAUCUACUUGUAGAAUUAAAACUUGCUGCAAUGAGAUAUCACAAUGAAGAAUGAAAAGAACCCCCUUCCACAUGUUUUAUUAUUACAGAUGUAAGAAAUAACAGUCUAGAGAAUAAAACUGUCCUCUAAGCUAGUAAUAGUUAUGAUGUGAGUGCUAAUCACUAAUAAGCACAUGCUUAGACAGAGAGAAAAGAGAGCAGAAGUACACAAAUUACCUAGCGAAGAUGAAACAGAGAUGCAACCUGUAGCUAGGCAAGGGAAGCCGCCAGUGUGGUUGCAUUGGUGUCCACCACCUGCCGUCAAGUGGCGGCCACAGUGGUGUACGCAGUGACAUGGGUUGGUCAUCCAAUAGGUGGGCGUUAUAUACUCCUAAAAUAGCGGUCCAGAAAAUUCGGGAAGAGGCGUUUGAAGCUGUUGCCAAUAAAAACAUAAUGAACAUCCUAACCCACCAUAAUCGCAAGAUGAAUGUGUAAAUCAUAAUUCAUACCCCUGCUCCUCCCCCAAAAUUACACGCGUCGUCACCCAAAAAUCCACUGAGACGCUGAAAUCAACUCUAAUAAAAGGAGAAAUUGAUUCCUGGGGGAGAUUGAAUUUUACUUAUUGUCUCUUAUCUGCAUUUCUACAUAAAACAAAACAAGCAGUGCACAAUAAUUACUACUCCCUCCGUUCCUACACAUAAGUCUUUUUAGAGAUUUUAAUAUGGACUACAUAAGGAGAAAAAUGAAUAAACCUACACUCUAAAAUGUGUCUAUAUGCAUCCGUACGUAGUCUAUAUUGAAAUCUCUAAAAAGACUUGUAUUUAGGAACGGAGGGAGUAGUAGCUAAUAUACAACCGAAUAAUAAGUUAACAGAAGCGAACAACUUCCCUCCGAUUGGCACUGAACAUUACCACUUUACAAGAUGAAAAGUUCAUAGUUCAGUACUAGUUACUGGUUAGUAGCAGGCCAACACUGUUUGACAGAUAAAAAAUCAAUCGAUUAUGUACUGUGAUGAUCUGAACAUGAACGCACAAAUAAAAAGAGUGUGUACUGUGUAGCACUAGCAGACAGAGGAGGACGGUCGCAGGACACCCUGGAGCUGCACGUACGAACGCACGAGGGCCAGUGAUGGUUCGGUGCCUGUGGAAGGUGAGGCAGCAAGCAGCCGAACAGGUCACGCGCCGUUACUUUGAUCGAUUGAUGGUAAAAAUUGUAGAGGAUAUAUGGGAUUCAAGGGAUCACCUGCUUGACGUGCCAGAGACUGAAGAUGCUUGCGGGGCGGUGCAUCGACGGAACACGCAGUAGAUCUUCGGGUGGCGGAUGACACCAACGUGGAUGCAGCUAGGUGACGGUGAGGACAACGUCGGGAGGAGCUCGACAUGGCGACGGUGAGGACGACCGACGCCAACGUGCUCCAACUACCGAGGUUGCCGAUGGACGAGAAAGGGAUUCGACGGUGGGCGGAGCUACCGGCGGAGGGUAGCCCUUCGGGGAAGGGCUGCUGCCGCACGGUGAAGGUGAAUGGGCGGCGCACGAGGUGGGCAUUGAUGCCGGCGUAGAUUUAAUCUGGAGGUUGGGAGCAGGCGGCGUGGGAAAAAUAUCUUGGAUUAGAUGGAGGGGAAAAAUUGAGAGACGUGGGAAGUCUUAGGCGGUAAAGAAAAUCUAAUUUGCCGCGCCAAAUUUCGUUAAGCAAAAACAGUUUAGGAGCCCCAAACUUGGGAAAGCGAAAAACAAAUCCCAAGAAAAUGGAGAUUUCACCAAUUAAGAGCAUCUACAGUCGGGCGCCUGAAACCGGUCUAAAAUGACCGAACGACCCGCCUCAUGUUUUUUACCCAGCCGGCACCUCAAACGGCUCUCAAACCCCCGAGCUUUCCGGCGCCCCUUAUAUCCAGCCCAAAUAUGGGGCGGAUAUGGGGCGCCCGGCCAGGUGCGCCCGGGCACACCCACUUGUUGUAGUAGAUAGUUAGGAAGUCGUCGGGUUAAGAUCCAAUAGGACUAGCGCAUCAGAACAAUAACAGCAACCCAUAAAGAGGAACAUAGAACCGAAAGAUGUAAUAUGAAGACAUAUGAAUAUAGACGAACGAAGACCGAUCCAAGUGAAUUCAUAAAAGACAAACGCUGACUGAAUCCCACGACAUCCGUCGGAGACACACCUUCACACGCCCUCCGAUGAUGCUGGACACAUCGCCAGAACGUGGCUAGGCGGGUAUAACCUUAUUCCAACUUCAGGGAGUUGUCGCCGUCUCGUCUUCCUCGGGAGGGCACAAACCCUAAACAUACACAAAAAAUAUCUAGAAAAUAGAGCAAGUCCUCCUGUCGGCAAGCGCUGAGAUCCACCUCGCGCUCCAUAGCUCUAAGGUCACAUAGGACGAAGCCAAUCUACGGCGGCAUAGACGGGGAGCAUGAAAUCUCAUAUAGGCCUCGGUGCAAGACGCACGAGCCGAAGGGUAACUUUAUUGGGUAAUAUACGUAUCAAAGUAAUAUCCACAAAGUUUAAUAAGUAUAAAGGCAGUGAAAGAUUGAAGGGGCGAAGUGCGACUCGCAACAAUAAGGGUGGCAUUCUCAAGCCAUGGGUGUGACUUAGGCUGGACAAAGCGACCGGGCUUUUGGCCCGCAUGUGGCUCCCUCUGGACCAGACCGUUUGGUCCUACCUGUGGUUCCUAUUUAAAGCGGCGAUCGACAGUUGUCGACCAAACGUACAAUCCCCCUUGGUCACUACCUGUAUUUGGCCCGGCCAAAAUAGCGCACGUUCCCUAUUUUUUCUUUUGCUUUUUUGUUUUUGUUUCAUUUUUAUUUUAUUUUUCAUUUCUUUUCCUUUUCCUUUUUCUAUGGUUGUUUUUAUUUCCUUUUUUCAUUAUUUUUUCCUUUUUCAACUUCAGAACAAUUUUCGAAUUUUGUGAGUCUUUUUAGAUUUCGCAAACAUUUUCAAUUACGUGAUUUUUAAUUCUUGAACAUUUUUCCAAUUAAGGAGUAUUUUAUGAAAUCCCGAACAUUUUUCAAAUAUGUGAACAUUUUAUGAAUUGAUUGACAUUUUUCAAAUUCAUGAACUAUUUUUGUUAUCAGGAACUUUUUUGAAACCCUGGUCAUUUUUUCGAAUUUGAGAUUCAUGAACAAUUCUCAAACUAAAAAAUAAAAGAAACAUAAAAGAAAAAACGAAAGAAGGAAGAAUGAAAAACAACUACNNNNNNNNNNNNNNNNNNNNNNNNNNNNNNNNNNNNNNNNNNNNNNNNNNNNNNNNNNNNNNNNNNNNNNNNNNNNNNNNNNNNNNNNNNNNNNNNNNNNNNNNNNNNNNNNNNNNNNNNNNNNNNNNNNNNNNNNNNNNNNNNNNNNNNNNNNNNNNNNNNNNNNNNNNNNNNNNNNNNNNNNNNNNNNNNNNNNNNNNNNNNNNNNNNNNNNNNNNNNNNNNNNNNNNNNNNNNNNNNNNNNNNNNNNNNNNNNNNNNNNNNNNNNNNNNNNNNNNNNNNNNNNNNNNNNNNNNNNNNNNNAUGUUAAAAUAAUUCAGGAUUACAAAACGGUUCUAAAAUAUCAAAAAAAUGUGAAAGGUGAAUUGUCAAAAACAAUUCUUUAUUUCAAAAAUAUUUGUGAUUUUACAAGGACGAACAUUUUUAUAUUUUAAUGAUCUUUUAACGUGCAUUUUUAUAAUUAUUAACAUUUUUGUAUUUAAUAAAGAAAUUCAAAAAUAGAUUAACAUUUUUUGAACUUGAAGAACAAAAUUUGCAUUCAAGAAAAAAAGUAAAAUAACGGAAGAACAAAUUUGAAUUUUAUUAAAAGUUUUUGAACCAAUGAACAAAAAUCAGAUUUUAUGAACAUUUGUUUAGUACGAUCAACACAUUUUUAAAUUUAAUGAAAUUUUUGAAAAUCGGAUAAAUAUAAAACUGAAUUCGAUGAACAUUUUAUGAAUUGUUGAACAUUAUCUUACACUUAUUAACGUUUUGUUGAAUCAAUGAACAAAAAAAUGUUUGCAAAUUUGGAAAGAGAAUCGUGAAAAAAUGAGAAAGUAAAGAAGAAAAAAGAGAAAAGAAAAGGUAAAAGGAAAGAAAAGAACAAAAAAAAGAAAAAACGAAACAGAAAGGAAAACGAAAGGAAAAAACAGGAAAAUGUAUGGCCCAUACGAACGCCCAGUGUGCGAGUGGGGUUUGCGCAAGCUCGUUCGCAACAACUUUUGCGGAAUAUCUUAUUUGACGCGCACCGCGUCAAACUGCCGACGCUUCGCACAGGCGAGCGACCGACCAGCAACGGUGCUCAUAAAGAAGAAGAAAAUUCGUUUAUUAUAGUUGUUCAUAAAUUUUAGAAAAAUUGGAAUUUUCAUAAAAUGUUCUUGUUUUUCAGAAAAUGUUGCGAAUGUUUUUUUUAAAUCACAACUUUUCAAAUUAAAAAAAUGUUCCCAUUUUCGAAAAUUGCUUGCAAAUUGCCAAAAAUGUUUACGUUUUCAUUUUUCUCAGAGUUUCAAAAAAUUGUCCCAGUUUCAUAAAUGUUCACAAGUUGGAAAAAAUAUUCGUGUUUUCAAAUUUUAUUCAGGAGAUUCAAAGUAUGUUCGCGUCUCCAAAUUUCGUUCUGGAAUGUGGAAAAAUGAUCCCGUUUCAAGAAAUCUUCAUGAUUUUCAAAAAAAGUUCCUGGAUUCUCCAAAAUGUUAUAGUUUUUUUUUUAAAUUUGUUUACAAAUUUGGAAAGUGUUUGAAUUUUGUACAACAUUCCAUUUAAAAAAUGCUUUUAAAUUGCUAAUAUAAUUCGGACCCGCACGGCCUAUUGGUUAUAUAUUGUUGACGCUACCAUAUGCUCUUAUACGACUGCUAGUUCAACUUGUAGUAGCAGGUUAUGUAUAGCACUUGAUCCCUUCUUUGAGUCCCUGUGAUAGCGAUUUUUUUUUUGCACCAAAGUGCGCGUUCAAUGUCGGUCUCGAUCUUCAUGGGCCGGCCUAGUCGUUGAGUCGCCUAUGCAAAACGACAACUCUUUGCCGCAAAGAGCAGCCUAUAGAAGGUCUCGACCUGUGCGCCAUACAGGAUCCUCGUCGGGUGACCUACACACAUAAUAGGGUUUCCCAUCCCAGCCCGCUAGCACAAUUAGCCAAUCUAGGUCGUCCUAUUAGGCCCAACAGAACACCGUCCAGUUUGGUGUUUGACCGAGUCUUCUCGGUCGGACCAAGAACAGGUCCAAGCCCACGCCACAACCACUCUAGGCUAGGGUUUGGUGUUUAGAAGUUUUAUUCAAAGUUUAGUACAACUCAUUUAAUAGCUAUUCAACUUAAAAAUAUGAUUAUUCAAAGAUUUCUUAAGUCUUUUUCUGUUUUUUUUUGCGGGGAAAAGAUUUCUUAAGUCUAAGAUAAGAAUAGAGUCGCACACUAAAACGUCUCACAAAUCGUCUCUAAGUUAAUUAAAAUUAAAUGCUUAUUUUCAUAAAGGCUAAUUAUAAGUAAUAGCUUGUGGCGCUUCAUAAACGUCUUAAGAAGCGUCUUUAGGUCGCUAGUGUCCAUGGGCAUAGAGACGAAUAUAAUAACGUCCCACAAAAAGCGACUAUACAUGGUGUUUUUGUUGUAGUGCGAUCAUAUUCACAUAGUGCUUAGGCGAAGCCCUGCGCGGAUCACUUCACCAUCACCAUCACCACGCCGUCGUGCUGACGGAACUCUCCCUCGACACUUUGCUGGAUCAAGAGUUCGAGGGACGUCGUUGAGCUGAACGUGUGCAGAACUCGGAGGUGUCGUACGUUAGGUUCUUGAUCGGUCAGAACGAGAAGAAAUUCGACUACAUCAACCGCGUUAACAAACGCUUCUGCUUUCGGUCUACGAGGGCACGUGGACACACUCUCCCCCUCUCGUUGAUAUGCAUCUCCUAGAUAGAUCUUGCGUGAGCGUAGGAAUUUUUUUGAAAUUGCAUGCUACAUUUCCCAAUAGAGGCAUCAGAGCCAAGUCUAUGUGUAGAUGAUAUGCACGAGUAGAACACAAAGAAUUUCAAGGUAUAAGUGUUCUCCCUGAGUAUGCACCGUUGAGACAGUUCGUCGUGCUGAGACACCAUGUAAUGGUCGGGUGUGAUAAGCUCUAUAUUCACAUACAACGGAUGCAAGACAGUUUUGCACAUGCGGAAUACUCGGGUUAAACUUGACGAGCCUAGCAUGUACAGACAUGGCCUCGGAACACUAGAGACCGAAAGGUCGAACGUGAAUCAUAUAGUAGAUAUGAUCAACAUAGAGAUGUUCACCAUUGAAAACUACUCCAUCUCACGUGAUGAUCGGACAUGGUUUAGUUGAUUUGGAUUACGUGAUCAUUUAGAUGACUCGAGGGAUGUCUAUCUAAGUGGGAGUUCUUAAGUAAUAUGAUUAAUUGAACUUAAUUUAUCAUGAAUUUUGUAGAUCAAUGGCCCGUUCUACUAUUCCCUUGAAUUUUAAUGCGUUCCUAGAGAAAGCUAAGUUGAAAGAUGAUGGUAGCAACUACACAAACUGGGUUCGUAACUUGAGGAUUAUCCUCAUUGCUGCAUAGAAGAAUUAUGUCCUUGAUGCACCGCUAGGUGUGUCACCCCCCCAACAACUGCAGACGUUGUGAACGCCUGGCAGUCGCGUGUUGAUGACUACUCGAUAGUUCAGUGUGCCAUGCUUUACGGCUUAGAAUCAAGACUUCAAAGACGUUUUGCACGUCAUGGACCAUAUGAGAUAUGCCAGGAAUUGAAGUUAAUAUUUCAAGUAAAUGCCCGAGUUGAGAGAUAUGAAGUCUCCAACAAGUUCUAUAGCUGCAAGAUGGAGGAGAAUAGCUCUGUCAAUGAACUCAUACUCAAAAUGUCUGGGUAUCAUAACCACUUGACUCAGCUGGGAGAUAAUCUUCCAGAUGAUAGUGUUAUUGACAGAGUUCUCCAAUCACUGCCACCAAGCUAUAAAUUCAUGAUAAAUUAAAUUCAUGAUAAUCUUCCAGAUGAUAGUGUUAUUGAAAGAUUGUUUAUCUUUGUGUCAGUACUCAAUUUUUGAAGUUGAUUGCACACAUCCUAAAAUGACAUCCAAAGAAAAUUAGAGAGAGUAAAUAGUUAGCAUAGUGAAAAGUCUGGACAAUAUCAUGUAUAUGGGCUUAUCAAGCUAUCAUGCAGAAAGAUUCAGUUUUCGUACAUUUGCAGGUUAACUUGCCAUAGAACACCCUUGAUAAAAUAAUCAUUAAGUUUGUCAAGUGAAUCCUCAGUGAAGAUGAUACUAAAAUUGACAGACUUAAAAGUAUUAAAUGCCAUCGAUUGCAAAACAAAAUUAUCUGAAAUCCAGCAAGUUUUACUACCUAUUUUUGUUGUAUAGUUCUACUUGCUUGAAAAGAAGCAAUGCACAACAGUCACCACAAAGAAUGCAAUAUUGUAUCAAGAUGCAAUUGACUCUUUUUUUACUUGCCACAUCACCCUGUCCUGCGGGACCCACCUGGCAUAAUGCAUGCCUGUACCUGCAGAUUAUGCCACAUCACACAUUGUCGGAUUAUGGGACUGAUGGCCUGCGGAUGCCUCCGAAGCCGUUUUUGCGAUUAAGGGCCCAACCAUGCUGAGGACUCUUAGCCAUUUCACUUCCGAGCUGACGGUGGCGCAGUGUCGGGCGAGGAAUUGAGUGCGGUGUCGGAGGAUGACAAUGCGUGAGAUAUACAGUGUGCGAUCUAAUUUAUGUAUGUUUUUUUUUUUCAAGAAAACUUCUAAUCUAUUCAUGUUUAAUCAUGACAGUACAAUGAACACCAGAAAUAACAAAAAUUACAUCCAAAUCCGUAGACCACCUAGCGACCUACAAGCACUGAAGUGAGCCGAAGGCGCAUUACUGUCAUUGCCUCUCUCUUGCCGGAGCCGGACAAAACUUGUUGUAGUAGACAAUAUGUUUACAUGUAUGUAUCAUGGAGUUAUGGUUAAAACAGUACCAUCAAGUAUUAAAUGUUUGUACAAACUGCGUCCUUGUUGUGCACUUGUUGCUGGAGAAACAAACAAAGUAGCUUCAAAUACCGAGUAAGUAAGAAGCUAACUUACAUUCGAAAAUUCAUUUCUGAUCCGGAGCACAGCUGAACCCGAAAUCUCACGCAUCCGUUCGCAUCGGGAUGUCUGCAGGGCUGGUAUUUCCCGUCGAACCUCGCUCGCGUAUAUGCCACGUAUAUAGAAGGGCAGCUGGCGCAUUAACUCCUGGUCCAAACGGACGGACGUCGUGGUACAGGAGAUGGCCCGAUGGACCGGAAACUGUUCUGGGCCGACCUUUUUCCAGGACGGGCGACGGGUCCAGCUAACGGCCACCCAACUGGAAUAAAUAUCCCUUGCCGUUCCCCUGCCAAUCCAUCAGCCGCCACCCAAAGGCCAAAGCAGCAGCCAUGUCUGCGUCUGGGUCCUCCUCCUCCGCCCAGCCGCAGGAGCACCUCCGGCUGUGACUGGGACGACCAAGUUAAACCAGUGCGGGAGGUCCAGAGGAAAACGAAAACACAGCUUAUUUCACUCACCUUCGUUUUCUGGUCGGGAGCGGAGCGGGUGCGCGAUCGCCAGAGCACUCCGCGCCAGUCAUCGUCGCCGAUGCUGCAAACACGGCAGCAACGCUUAAGUCAGUCCGGGCGCUCCACACCGGCACCAUUGCUGCUAGCAGACUAGAACACAUGGAGGAUGAACCUGACGCCCAGUAUCCACCACAGCUCUUAUGUGACGGCACACCCCAUCCCCCGAUCACACAUACAAGUUUUGAAUUUCUAUUCGAGCAGGCGCACGCGUGUGUACACUGCAAGUUAAAACCACCUGACGCAUGGACGCCUCCAGCUUGGACAUGCAUACAUAUUUCCUAGUGUCAGCACACAAACACUCCUGAAGGAAAUCAGCAGAGACACGACCGGUUCAAACUUAGGCCUACUGAUCAUGUGGAUGCCUGCACACACGACCGCACUCUCAGAAAUUGCAGUGUUGCCAGCUAGGAGGGAUGCACACGCAGAUAAAUCAUGGAUGCAAACCACAUCUCAAGAACACAGACAGGGAAAUUGUCACAUUCAAACUCAUACUACUUUAGUUCUACAGUCAUAACCACAAAGAACUGACACACAUUCCAUACCACGCAGCUCCCAACUCUACCCCCAGAUGUGAAACCUCAGCCAGGCAACUUCUACAUUUACUCAGACCCUCGUAACGCGCCUUGUCACUGCUAUUACUCAGUCUGCUGACCCCACUAUGCUUAUAUGGAGCUGCUAGACCUUCAAGGGCAUUCACACAGAUUUCCCCCCACUAUUGCAUUUGUCAGCACCGUCGCCCCCCACAAACGCAACCUCUCCAUUGCCAGGCAAUCUACCAGUGGCCAAACCUGCUAUCCGAUCCUCAAACCCCAAACCAUCCCUCUUCUCAGCUAAAGGUGCGACACUCACCAACAAAGCUUCCAGACCAGCAAAAGUGUGCUUGAAUUAUUCUGCAUUCAAAUCGCCCAUCUGCACGACUUCCAUGGCUUUCAGAUAUAACAUCGAGUUCCUGCACGAGAACGACAAGUUAACUGAAUUGUCCUUCUGAUACAGUGAACCAGGUGUGGGGAAGCAUGUCCCUCGUGUCCUUGGUCCACCUCUUGAGUAUAUUCACAGGGAUCUCCAGAUGAAGUAUAUCCAUGACCCGUGCAUUACACUAUGUUUAAAUUUCUUGUACAGAAAUUCAAUUUAUGUGCAGCAAUUUUUUUGUCAGGUUUAGUUACCCUUAAGACAUGGCUGCAUGACAUCCCAGUAUGCUUGAACUGGCCACACUCGCACGUAAACUCUGACUGAUCCUCUGCUUCAUUUUUCCAUUUUAGCUACAUUGUUGUGCUUUGUAACAUAUUUCCUCAUCUUCUCUACUUCCUUGACAUUGUACGACGUCCCUUCGAUUAGGAGGUGACCAAACUCCUCAAACAUAGCCCUGGUGUAAAUUUUACUUGCAUGCCGCUCUAUCGCCAAAUUGGUCCUCUUGUCAACUCCACCCUGUCAUAAUAUAGUUCGGUUUUUCUGUCCGUUAGUGGUUCAUGUAGACAAAUGCCUGACAUAUAUGAAGUGUACAUCUAUUUCUGUCAGAUACUCAAAUUGUACACACAAAAAAUGCUUACAAUCAUCAUUCUCUUCUCCUGGUAGCUUUCCUCAUCCUCGUGGUCAACUGUAACCUCAUGUAAUGCCCGACAAAAACAUGCAUUGGGCUUGACGGAGGUAUGUAUGUCUUCAACGUGUGAUUCGUGACUUAUCUCUUAUCUUCCUGCAAAUACUUCUUAGGGUCCUCUUCAUGAAGGGCACCUUCUUGACCGAACCAAAGAAGCUCCCAAUUAUGUUGUACACCUUCCCAAGGUUCAGAUUGUUUUCCCUAAGUUGCUUUAUUAAAUCUUGUGUAUGCGUCGAUGAGCUUGUGUGACGGCCAGUGCACCUUCUCACCCAUUGUUAAGGACAUUGAAUGGUUGAGGCUUUCACGGUGCUCUGUGAUGUACCAGCUGUUGUCCGUCGCGCGCGACAGCCUAAUCAGCACUGGACACUCGCAUCUGCAUGACCUACUAUCGGCCAACAAAACAUAACAUCAGACACUACCGCGCUUGGAGAGCACAUCGACAACACAGCAAAACACAUUUACUCUGAAAUGUAUUAUAUUUCAGCAAAAGCUCGUUACUCACCGAGCAACCACGAUCUCCUGCAUGCAUUUCGUCCUCUCGGCAUUUAGUUUGCUUUUACCAAAUCUGAUACCAAAGACAUUCCAAGAAUAUAGAUUGUAUAGAACUCGUAUGCCUCACCAACUGAAUCGAAACUCGGGUAGGGCGUACUAAAUUCUUUGUAGGUUCCUCUGUGUUGCGAAUCAAUUUCUCCAGAGCGCUCGUCCGAGAGGGUCAUGAUGUCCUGUCUGGUGGCGCACUGCCCAGCCAUAACCUGUUUUUUUGCAGAUGUUCAGCAUUCACUCUACGUACGAGUUCAAAUACAAGAAUAAUUCUGCCAAGAGUGUCUCCCGUUAUAAGUAUAGAGAUUCAUCAAGAAAAGAAUAAAAGGGGUAUUAGGAAUGUCGCAUGGACAUGCUCAGAAAGGUCUCUAAAGUAUGCAUGCGAGAAAACCUACGCCUAUUCUUAUAGUCAAGGGUAAUGGAACUGGAAACUUUGGUGUUCCAAAAGUUAAUGAGAAAAGAUUGAAAAUGGAUAUGGUGUCAUAUGCUUCAGCUGUUGGAAGCUCAAUAUAUUACACAGUUCACGUAUCCGGGUUGUUUUGGCAAUGUCCAGUCCAUAUAUAGAUCACUGGAAUGGAGUCAAGAAUAUCGGCCUCAUGCUGAAAGAAAUAAGGGCUCUCAAAAGAUUGUGAGUACAAAGACAGGACUUCUGAAAUGUAUAGCGAAAUCCACAAUUGUCGCUAACUUUCACACUUGGGAGUUUUUUGUGUGGAGAAACUCCAAAGAGUGAAACAAUUAUCAUCAAUGUGAUGCAAAAACAUGUUAAAGCUUGAUAUGAGGCCGAGGGACAGGCAAAAUGGUUAAGGACACCUGUACCCGGAGCUGGCAAAAUGGUUAAGGACACCUGUACCCGGAGCUGAUAAUGGUUGACAACAACGAUAACCAUUUUAAGUUUUUCGCUCCUAUGACAACGAGUCAAGUGUUGAUGCCAAACACACUGACACAGAGUUAUGCGUUGUAAAGGAGAAAGUCCGGAAUUAUGUAGAAAUGCUUGAAGCAUAAAAGCAACAGACAAGUGUUUGCAGAUCUGCUUAUUAAAGACUUACCGCCCAGUGUGUUCGGAGAACACACAGUCGACAUGGGUUUUAUGGUAUAGUCUAUGAUUUCCGGACAAUAAACGGGCCCAAGGUUAAAGAGUCUGUUUCAAAACAGAGGAGUGUAUUGUAGGUGUUGAUUCCAUCGGGAUAGACCGUGAUGAUGAGACAUGCUCUACAUGCAAAUCUGUGAUGAAACGAGUACUUUGAAAAGAGUUAUUUCAAAGUAUAAAGUUAAAAGUAUAUGAUGAGAUCAAGGGGGAGAAUGUUAGAUUGAUCUCUUCCCCAAUGGGCCCAACGACCCAUUGGACCCUUGACCCACGCCCUGAUCAGGUGCGUCCAGCCCAAGCAAGGCUGGUGGGCCCCUAUCGCGCAAUGCCAUAUAGAGGAGAUGGGGACCACGGCACAAAGUACGCGGUUCGCCGCCGCCACUGUUCCCCACUCCUAACCCUAGUCCGAUCGAGAGGGAGGCGCUGAAGCGAUGGGAAGCGCAACCAGCCACUUCACCGUCGACCUCUACGCCGAGCUCCCCUCCGUUCACCACCAGCACCAGGAGCUCCUUGAGACAAAGGAGAAGGUAAUCUCCUAACGACACCAUCAGUCCUAGCCUACCCGAUCCCACAGCGACCUAUCAUCCUCGCCUCUGCCACGUCGUGGAUUUUACUGUCACAUGUAUCUACCCUACCCUAGAUAACACCUCCCCACGGUGACUUCUUUCCUUAUCUUCGCCACGAAGGCAGCCCAGCAUGCGACCUCCAUGUCUCUCUCGUUUCCUCUCCCAUGUGGAGGAGAGGAAGCGGCUACGAUCACACCACCGGCGCUGGGUCGAUGGUGUCCUGCCUCGGCAACCAGGAUUGGGCAAGGUAGAUGCGAAGCAGCGGCGCACCCUCUCCCCGAGCUCCAAAUCCAUGGAAGCAGCAACGAGGUGAGCAGCGGCAAAGGCGCCUCCGCAGAACUGGCGGUCGGCGUCUGGCCUCUGGCAGAAUUGUGUGGACUAGCAGCGGCCACAGCGAUGCAGAGAAGGUGGAGGCUAGGAGGCGGGCAAGAAAAAGGGGAUGGCGAGGCAGAGGAAGUGGUGGGCAAAGGCGGAGGGAAGGAGAUCGGACAAGCUGCAUCGGGAGAUGAGGAGGAGAUGGGUCGGAAGCAUGCAAAAUGAGGAGGAGCUGGGCGGCGAGGUCAUGGUGGCCGGAGGAACCAAGAUCGACACCUCCCCAUCUAGAUCUUCCGCGAGGGAAUAAGGUAUGUCUCGCACAUGGAUUCCGGAAGGAUGUUCCCAUUUCUAUGCCUAAAAUGUCUCUCUCAUCAGUGCACUUGUACCAUCUCAGCCAGGCGAGAAAAUUGUGACAUAUCCUGUUCGUCCAGUAGAUACGUCAACAGAUUUUGAAGGAACAAAACGCCUUCAACCAACUCAGCCAGUAAUAGAAGCUCUGUUUCUGCCUAAAUCUUAAUUUUUCAAUCUCUAAGAAUCAGUUUUGACAAUGACAUGAAACUUGUAACUCAUAUCAGUUCAUUUUCAGCCACUACACUCUACUCAUGCAUCAACAUGUUCCAUAGAAAGCUUAUAGAGAACUGAACCAAAAGAAGCUUCUUUCAUUUUAUGAAUUUGUUGAAUCCUAAAAAAUGAGAAAUCUAUCUUAGGAAGUGUUUACCGCAUCGACACACAGCGUGUGCUUAGUCACAAUUUUACAUACGUCAUUGGGCAGUCACCAUCAUAUAAACUGAUACCAUUUCAUUUUCAUUCCCUGCACUCUAUCUUCCUGUUUGAUCCUACAAUUGGACUCAAUCAAUGUACUAUUACCUAUUCUUUUCACUGCGAGAUGCAUGCCUCAUUACCUAUAUGUGCCAUUCUGUAAAGGGAGUCCAGUACUAGCUAAUUCCACUUAUAGUACAAGAUGUAUGCCUGAUUAUCUGUAUGCGCAAUUUGUGAAACAAUACACUCUGUUAAAGUUUUAUCACUGCUCACCCAGUUACUCUCCUCUCAGACUGCAUAACUGUAUAAAUUGUCAUAGUUUUCAUAGUUUUUCAUAGUUUUCUUUUAACUGGCACAUAUAUGUAUUUUCCUAUAUAAAUUGCCACCACAAGCAUUCUUUCUCCAUGGCUAACAUGACACAUUUUACCUGUUAGGUACUCCAUCUGGUUGGAUAGCAAAUUGCGUUUUAAUGCUGAUUCAAUGCUUAUCAUUAAGUAUUUCUUAUGGAGAAAGAAAGCAGAGUAUGCCAUUUCAGCGCACUACGAUCGCACCUGCGUCUGGGAGCACUGGUAGAAAAUGGGCCUUUAGUCCCGGCUGUGCAACCGGGACUAAAUUUGCGCGACUAAAGACCCCCCCCCCCCUUAGUCGCGCCUCUUACGAACCGUGACUAAAGGCUUUAGUCCCGGUUCUCGUGGCUAACCGGGACUAAAGGCCCGUCCACGUGGGCGCCAGGGGUCCAUCGGGGCGGAGGACCUUUAGUCCCGGUUCUCGUGGCUAACCGGGACUAAAGGCCUCCUCCGCAGGUUUAGGGUUUUAGCCCCCCUAAACCUGGUUUUUUUACGAAUUUUUUUAAUUUUUUUUAUUUUCAAAUUUCUGAAUUAUUUUAACCUCUAAUUUCUAAUCACCACCCUCAUCACUGCUCAAUUUAUCCUCUAAUCUCUAAUCACCCCUCAUCAUUCCAAAUCAUCUAACUUCCCGGACGGUCACCCAUCCUCUCACUACUCCAGCCUGAGCACGCUUAACUUCCGGGUUCUAUUCUUCCUCGUUUCCAAGUCUGCACUUGUUGUUUUCCUCACAAUAGUAGGAUGUCAAUUCUAUUAACCCUCAGGAAUUUAGCUUGAGCAUGAAGUGACACAUUUCACUGUUUGAGUUUGAAACAAUUGUUUUAAAAAACAAUAAUUAUUUAGUAACACUAAUAUUUCUGGAAUAAUUAGUUUGACCAUUGUUUGACCACAGUUUGACCACAGUUUGACCAGAUUUGACCAAAAUUUAAAAAAAACUGAAAUAAUUAUUUAGUAACACUAAUAUUCUACAAUAAUUAGUUUGACCAUUGUUUGACCACAGUUUGACCACAAUUUGAAUUUUUUUUUGAAUUUUUUUGCCUCUCCAGAUCUUAAAAGCCCCGUAUCUUUUUUUCUGUUAGGUUUUUGAGGAUUUUGAAAAUGUUUAACGGGGUUCCCAUUUUCUGUUAGGUUUUUGAUGUAACUUUUCGAGUAGAUGAUUUUUCAUAUAAAAAACUUUUUCAUCCGAGUUCGUAUGCAAAAGUUAUGCCCAUUUUAAGAAAUUCCAGAGAGAUUUUGCAAAUAAAGUCGAAAUUCAUAUUUGUUAAUUUUCCCAACAACUAGACCACAUAUCACAUGAGAAACUUAUUUUAUUUUAUUUUUUUGACAUUUCCAUCAUUUUCUUUUGGUUUUUCUAAAACUGAAAAGNNNNNNNNNNNNNNNNNNNNNNNNNNNNNNNNNNNNNNNNNNNNNNNNNNNNNNNNNNNNNNNNNNNNNNNNNNNNNNNNNNNNNNNNNNNNNNNNNNNNNNNNNNNNNNNNNNNNNNNNNNNNNNNNNNNNNNNNNNNNNNNNNNNNNNNNNNNNNNNNNNNNNNNNNNNNNNNNNNNNNNNNNNNNNNNNNNNNNNNNNNNNNNNNNNNNNNNNNNNNNNNNNNNNNNNNNNNNNNNNNNNNNNNNNNNNNNNNNNNNNNNNNNNNNNNNNNNNNNNNNNNNNNNNNNNNNNNNNNNNNNNNNNNNNNNNNNNNNNNNNNNNNNNNNNNNNNNNNNNNNNNNNNNNNNNNNNNNNNNNNNNNNNNNNNNNNNNNNNNNNNNNNNNNNNNNNNNNNNNNNNNNNNNNNNNNNNGGUUGGUCUGGCCAACCGCGACUAAAGGACUUCGGGCCAGCCUGAGGACCUUUAGUCCUGGUUGGUCUGCCAACCGCGACUAAAGGACUAACCUUUAGUCCCGGUUGGUCUGGCCAACCGCGACUAAAGGACUUCGGGCCAGCCUGAGGACCUUUAGUCCCGGUUGGCCAGGCCAACCGGGACUAAAGCCCCUCCCGUCCGCCAGCUGUCGACCGAGCGCGCUGGGCCCAGAUAGUUGGUCGCGGGUCUCCUCCCGAACCGCGACUAAAGACCCCUUUGGUCGCGGUUCGAUUAUUUUGGGGACUAAUGGGGGCGUAUGGAAGCCUCUUUUUCUACUAGUGGAGGAAGUUCUUCAGAACAAGCUCAUAAACAAGUAAAAUCACACUGCUAUCGAUGAGCAAUUUUACUUUUAUUAGUAUGAGUGCCUGUGAAGUUUAAUGCCUCUGGCCAAGAUCCAGUUCUACCGAGUUGUAAGUAGCAUUUACUUAUGUUUGAUAAAAUCUCCUAUGAGUAAAUGAAUUGGUCAAGUGUAGAACAAUUGUCUCGGAGCUUAAUUAGAUGUACACAUCGUCCUCUGCUUUUCAAACAAAUUUGAUCAUAAGCUUUUAUACAAACAAGAUGGGUCCCAAAUGCUAUUUACCGUAUAUAGAGAUAUAUAGCACGGGAAUCGCCCACAAAGCGACAACCGACAUACAUGGACGGAGACACAUUUUUUGUGUUGGCUGUAUUGGUUUUCGGUAUUUUUUUGGUCUUUUCUGGUUUAUCCUCUUUUAGUAUUUUCAGUGUUUUCUUCUUACAUUUUUUGGGUUUUCCCUUUUCUAUUUCUUUGUCCUUAUUUUCUUCCCUUUUCCAGUUUCUUUCUAACUUUUAUAUAAUAGAAUAUAGCAUUUAUUGACAAAGGACAUGAAUCUUUUUAAAAAUACAUGAGCACGUUUUGAAAUUAUUUGAACAUUUUUUAAGGACAUGAACAAUUGUUUUAAAUUAGAAGAACAUCGUUUCCAAAUAGGCCCGUGGACAUUUAAGUCCCAUGUGGUCGACUGCUUGCUUUCUAUCGCUAUAAGCGGGGUAUACUCGGAAAAUGCCAACAGAGGCCGAGCUCCAGGGAGCUCGGUAUUUUGAAAAAAAAACAAUCAAAACUAAUCAUUUCAAGUUUCAAAAUAAUAAUUAAAUCGAAGGACAAUUAUACGAUUUUCGUACGCGCACGUGAAAAAAUCAUUUGAAUCUUUUGUGAUUUGUAGGCUGUACCAAAAAAAAUCUGGCCACAAAAAAGAUUGGCCCAUUUUAGAAAUACACUUUUGUCUUUUUUUUCUGUACGCUAUGUGUGAAAGUAUAUGGUUAUGAAUUUUUGCACAUACGCAAUACAGAUGUGUGAGAUUGUAUACAAAAAAUUUCAAAUUUUGUCAUGCUGUUGAAAUUCGUAUUUUCAAAACGAGUUCCGUGGAGUUCGGCCUCCAAAAGCCCUCACUCGGAUAUAUUCUCUUUUGUUGAAGGGGUAAGGUGCAAACCCUUCUCAACUCUCACGACGUCAAAUUGUAACAUGCAUUUUUUUUUGUUGAGAAACUUGUAACAUGCAUUGGUGUGUUGUCCUGGGCCUGACUAAAGAAGCUCGAGAGACGACCACGAGGUGGAGGCUGAGUGCUCCAUGAUGGGUUUCUCUUUUCUUUUUCUUUCCCCUCUUUUCUUCCCUUUUCUAUUUCUUUUCUCUAUAUAUUUUUUAUGUGAAAGAAGUAUACACAGUUAUCAAGAAAUGCAUAGAUAUUUUUGUAAAUACAUGAACACGUUUCUAAAUUACAUGAACAUUUUUUAAGGACAUGAACACUUGUUAAAAUUAUAAGAACAUAUUUUUCUAACUGCUCAAAAUCUUUUAUUUACAUGAUGCGUGAACACAUUUUAGAAGUAGAUGUUGUUUUCUUCUGAAAAAGGCAUGAACAAAUUUGAAAAUUAUAUUAAUACAUUUUAAUAUACAUGAACAUUGUUUCAAUUGCGUUAAUUAUUAUUUUAAAUAUUAACAUUUUUAAAAGGAAAAUAUGUUUUUAUGUGUAUAGAUUUUUAUAACAAACGGAUAUUUUUACUCCUUUUUUUAUUAUGGAUUGGAUUAUAAUAUUAUUUUUUUGAUAAUCGGAUUGGAUUAUAAUUUAUAUUUCUGGCGGUGGCGUCUCCUUUCCCGAGAUCGGCGGUGGUAAGCCUCUGAUCGACCGUUGAUGGCCUUGAGGAUGCGUCCCCCGCCGACGCUGUACUACGCGAGGUCCAGCAGGAGUCGCUCCGCGUCGUCCUCGUUGAACUCGGCGACGGCGAGCCUCGGGCAAGCGGCUCGAGGAUGCGUUAUUUGAUUCGUUUUGGUUCUUGUCUCGUGGUGCCAUGGGAGGAGGAAAUCAUGGGUAUUUGUGAGGAGGAAAUCGUAGGGGCGCCCAUGGCUUCAUGUUGGAGUAGGUCUCGUAUGAAGAUCCGAUCCAAAAUGGACAAACAUUUUUGUCCACUUAUUUACUGGAUUGCGGGUUGAUUAUUUAAUACUAUAGGGGGCCUUUUUAUAAAAUGGACACGACGGUGAACCCGACGGAAACAAUGCGUGCUUUAUUAGUAGGUAAAGAAAAGAUAAAGAUUGGUUUAUAUUUUUUUUCUAAGAAUCGGAUUGGAUUAUAAUUUAUAUUUUUAAUACAUUUCCAAGAAAGCAAAAAAUAUAUCUAUGUGAACGGGCCACAGUGGCCGCAACCCAUUUGAGUCAUGAGUGGUCGACUGUGGCGAGGAUGGUGCGACAUCAACGUCGGCCAUGGGUUGAGGGAGAUGACGAUUUUGCCAGUGCCGGUCGACGGAUCAUCGAGGUGGAUGGCGGCAAUGAUGAGGGUAGACGGGGAUGCCGGGGUGGGACGAGAUGUUGUUUCCUCGACUAUUUGACACAGUGAGCUAAAAAAACAUUUUGUUGAGAAGUGAGCAAAGUUGGAGAUGAACAAGGAAACCUUUGGUCGUGGGCCAGGAAACGUGAUAACCUCUGGCCCAACGGUUGAUGGGCCGCAACGACGGAUCCUAUCCAUUCUCAUCCUUUCCAGCCGCCUCCACGGUUCUCCGGCCACCGCCGCCGACGAUGACGCCGGCCGCCGCCCACUACUUCCGCAGCCCCGUCCACUCCCAACGUCAGCAAGCAUGCGCCGGUUUCCACAACGCAGCAGCAGAAGCAACCGCAGCCGGCAGGGAGCUGAUCCCGGCCGUCGCCCUCCACAUCGGUGACUGAAUCGGCGGUCAGGCAGCAGCAGUCCGCCAUCACGUUCACCCCAACCGCAGCAAGCAGCAGCAGCCGCGAUUCAAUUCCUCUCACGGUCUGGGAUCAAGAGGUACGACUGCCUAGGUUUUCGGUUCCUCCAACAGUUUCUGAUUUAGUCUGUUGGGCUGAAAUAAUAAGAGAAGCUCGAAUUGAUGUGGAUGUUUGAUUCGUUGGUGUCAUUUUAUCCGAGUUGCAGAUGAGCUCACGGAUGGAUCACAUUCACUCUGUGCCGGAGAGCAAAGCUUCCUCAGCCACAUGCCCUCUGGUAGAUAUCGGUACUAAGUGGGAAAGAAUCAAUUCAGUGAGGUCUGACUAUGAGAGUGGAGAUUAAUGGACGUAACGUCCGAGCGAGGUAAUCAACAGAUUAUUGUAUUCUGCACAGCUCUAUUGCAAGUUCUUGGACAUAAAUAUGGAAGUAGAUUGUAGUACUAUAUCUUGCAAACAACUAGUAGCACUAUUACAGGGUAGUGUCCGGUGAUUAUUCAUACAUCUUCAGACCUAAUGGACCGAAAGCAUCAAAGCACAGUGGUUGCUAUUGCAGCGCAAGUGUACACAAAGUACAACCUUGAAUGUUUACAGAGUAUGGUAGUCCGUGCGACAUGCUUUAAUUCAUCCUCACAUUCCGCAACCUCCCCGUUAGCAUGUUAACGACCUUUGUCAUCGAUGGCCGGUUUCUCGGGUUCCACUGGAUGCACCACAGUGCGACAAUAGCAAGCCGCCUCACCUUUUCUUUCUCUUCUUCAGUCUUUUCUGCCAUCACCCUCCAAAUCGGUGACUGAAUCAGUGGUCAGGCAGCAGCAGCCGCGCGUCGAUUCCUCUCUCACGGUCCAAGACCAAUAGGUACUAGUGCGCCACACCACUCCUCAGAUUUUCGAUCCCUCCCACAGUUUCUGAUUUGGCUUGUUAUUAUUAUUCAAGUAAGUGAAGCUCGAAUUGAUGUGGAUGUUUGGUGCCAUUUUAUCGAAUUGCAGAUGCUGGAAAGGAAAAGCUCCGUCAGGCACAUCGCCUCUGUUAGCAACGGAAUAUGCCAAAUAUGGGAGUUGCAAAGCAAAAGCUCCGUCAUCAGGCACAUCUACUAACUGCCAAGAGGAGAUUCACUAACUCACAGAUGCAGAGAAAUAUGGGAGACCGAAUAAGGUAAUCAACGGAAUACUGAAUUGCACACAACGCUAUUCGCAACUUUUGGAGAUAAAUAUUGGAGUAGCAAUUGCGAAUCGUGUAUCUUGCAAAUAAUCAGUAGAGUAAGAUUACAAUGGUAGUGACCAGCGAUUAUUCAUACAUCUUCAGACAUAGACUGAAAGCAUCAAAACACAGUGGUUGUUAUUGUUGCAACACACGCGCAGACAAAGUACAACCUUGAAUGUUGACAGAGUAUGGUAGUCCCUGUUUUGAUUUAUGGCAUAGGUUCAUUUUCAUAUGAGACGUAAGGCUUUGGGGGCAUCUGCAGACUCUGCAACCUCCCUGUUAGCAUGUUAACGACCUUUGUCAUCGACGGCCGGUUUCUUGGGUUCCACUGGAUACACCACAGUGCAACCAUUGCCAGCUGCCUCACCUUUUCUUUCUCCUCUCGAGUCGUUUCCAAAGUAAGCACCAACUCCUCCCCAUUGAUAACUUUCUCGUAGAUCCACUCUGGGAGGUAAACAUCGUCCUGGCUCCCGAUUCUUGGGUCUGAAUUCCUCCUCCCGCUUACCAUUUCUAGCACCAGCAUGCCGAAACUGUACACGUGUGACUUGUACGAUACUCCCCCAAAGUUCCGAGAGUAUAGCUCUGGUGCAAUGUACCCCAUUGUGCCUCUUGCUGCUGUUAAGGUGACGAUGCUUUGGUCCCUUGCGCACAGCUUUGCAAGGCCAAAGUCUGAGAUCUUUGGAUUGAAGUUGUAGUCCAGCAGGAUAUUGUGAGGCUUGAUGUCAAAGUGGAGGAUGCGCUGGUUGCACCCUUGAUGCAAGUACUCCAUUCCUCUGGCAAUGCCUAAAGCAAUAUCUAGCAGCUUGUCGGGUACCAGAAGAUGCUGGAAAUUUGCAGAGUCACGAGAGAAAAUAUAUUUCUCUAGUGACUCAUUAGGCAUGAAUUCAUAAAUCAGAGCCCGUCUCAUUCCUUCGGAACAAAAUCCAAGGAGGCGGACAAUAUUGGCAUGGUGGAUUAGUCCGAUGGUUGCAACUUCAUUGAUGAAUGCUUGUCCCUCUCCUGUAGAGUUCUCUAGCAUCUUGACUGCCACGGGCACUCCAUUUGGUAGCUCGCCUUUGUAUACACUUCCAAAUCCUCCCUGCCCUACUUUUUCCUUAAACCGUCUUGCCAUCUUCUUAACUUCAGAGAAAGUGUACCUCGUGGGUUUCGAUGCUCCAUAUGUCUUGAGAAACAUUUCGACCCUCAAAUGUAUCUCCGUAUUAUAUCUUGUCUUGAGUGAAAGAUAAAGCACAGUGGCCACCGUUAACAAAAGAACAACAAAUGCGGCCACCGAUGAUGUAGCUGAAUAAACAAACAAUAUAUGACAUCAGCAUAUUGCAUUGGGAAUUAAAAGCCCUUACUUAGUUUUAUGUGGAUAAGGAUAAGAGGACGUCAAGGUUCAGAGUAGCCAACAAUAGGGAUUUGCAUUAUAUAAAUUUGGUAAUUAAAAUGACUGCAGUCAGAGUAGUACCUGCGAUGACUUUGAUACGGGAACCUGCAAAUACAAGAACAAGAAUUAGAGUCAGUUGAUGGUUUAGUAAAAAGAAAUGAGUUAUACUUGAUUUUGGUUUUAGAACUGUCAAAUUCAUUGUUUUCUACCAUUGCUGCCAUACACUCCCUAGCGGGGAUACAAUAGAGAUUUUAAUGUUCCAGAAACACAUAAGCAGUGAUAUUUAGGCCAUUUUGAAAGAGAAAAAAUAUUUGUCAUAACUGACCAACCACAUUUCAUUUUUGUAGAGCAUAUAGGAGAACCAUGCAUGUUUAUAUCUAGAAGAGAAUAUCAUGAACAUACUGUGGUACUGGCCAAGCUUUACACUGAACUUUGACAAGGAGAUUACUCAAGAUCCCACUACAGAAGGAAACACACCCUACCAACUGUUCUAUGUGUGCUUUGGUUGCUGGUUGUCUUUUUUUUUGGGGGUAUUGUGUUAUGUACAGAGGAUGUGGUACCGGUCUUUUGCUGGUUUUCUUGCUUUCGGCCUGGCUCUGUAAUGCGCUUCCUGGAAAACUUGGCAAGGGUUGGGCCGCUCACCUGAAUGGGAGGCUUCAUAGAUAGAGAACUGGGCAUGCUAGGCAUUAUCAGGCGGGUUCUGUUUUCUUUUGUUAUUUAGAAAUAUUUUAUAAUAUGUUUUGUAUUGAAGUGGUUGUGCAUCUCUACCAAAGUAUUGGACUGAUAUCUCCAAAGGAUUAGUUAGUGUUGUAUAGAUGAACAUAUUUUAUAGGGCCAAUGUUUAAUAGAUGAACAAAACAUAUUUCCUUCCUCUCGACAACUUCUCAGAUUUUUUAUGAGAGUUCAGGUGCAUAGUUCAAUGUGAUUGCUCAAGAAGGCUACUAAAAUAAUUUGUGGUGCUAUUUUAAAAGAAAAAUAUUGACAGAGAGUCUCAUGGAGAUUCAAACACCUGAAAUUAUGAAGUAAAAUUUUAACAGACUUCAAAACUUCAUUACAAAUAAAAUUGGAUGAUGCAAUUAAAUAUGGUUCUAGACAGUUAGAAUUGAUCAUACCGUCAGGCAUACAGAAUGCUUGAUUCUGUUGUGAGCUGAACGCGCAGCGUAGCCCACUGAGCUCACACUCUCUGCAAUCAUCAUCAGUCCAACACAGUGUGGUCUCAACAGAAUUGAUAAAUGUUUUUGCAGCUUCCUUGAAGGACCGUGGGUCGUAUAUUUGGCCGCAACUCCAAUACAUGGGUUUCAGACGGCCACCGACACCAUCUGAGACUGGGACGACCUUGCA
This 50927-nucleotide long non-coding RNA is filed under the name Triticum aestivum (bread wheat). RNAcentral describes it as "long non-coding RNA (TAES_LNC012746)". The stretch from base 23430 to 23564 matches the Rfam family "MIR1120/MIR1122 microRNA precursor family". Lineage: Eukaryota; Viridiplantae; Streptophyta; Magnoliopsida; Poales; Poaceae. The record is from RNAcentral.